RNAcentral lists this long non-coding RNA (48155 nucleotides) under Citrus x clementina. Its description in RNAcentral is "Citrus clementina (C. clementina) long non-coding RNA (CCLE_LNC001433)". Lineage: Eukaryota; Viridiplantae; Streptophyta; Magnoliopsida; Sapindales; Rutaceae. The record is from RNAcentral.
UUGACCUUGGGAAGUUAUCAUGCUCUCCAAAUUCUUUUGAGCUCAAAUAAGUUAAAAAGUUGUAUUCGAUCUCUUUUCCUACAGUUGUUCAGAGAUACAACGUCGAUUAUUGAUGCUACGGCUUUCGCAGAUCUAAACCACCUCAAUCAAUUAUGUAUUAGUAACGGUUCUGAGUUGGAAGAAUUGAAGAUUGAUUAUACGGAGAUAGUACGAAAAAGGCGGGAACCUUUUGUUUUCCGCAGCCUUCAACGUGUUACCAUAGAGGAGUGCCAUAAAUUGAAAGAUUUGACAUUCCUCGUUUUUGCUCCAAACCUCAAGUCUCUUUCGCUAUACGAUUGCGGUGCUAUGGAAGAAAUAAUCAGCGUCGGAAAAUUUGCUGAGACUCCUGAGAUGAUGGGACAUAUAAGCCCUUUUGAAAAUCUCCAAAUGCUUUAUUUAAUGGCAUUGCCGGAGUUGAAGAGCGUCUACUGGAAGCCAUUGCCUUUCACUCAUCUGAAAGAAAUGGAGGUACUUGGGUGUGAUCAGCUUAAAAAGCUUCCACUCGAUUCCAACAGUGCAAAAGAGCGUAAAUUUGUAAUUCUUGGAGACACACAGUGGUGGAACCGUCUUCAAUGGGAGGAUGAAGCCACUCAAAUUGCUUUUCGUUCCUAUUUCCAAACCUGAUUCCUGAGCGGUGGUCGCAAAAUUUGAUUUCUGGUGAGUGCGUUUGUCUUUUAAAAGAAGAAUUUAAAAGAAAUUUAUUCUUGUCGUUUUCUUCUCUGUUUUUAUUUCAGUUUGUUUCUCUCUCUCUCUUUUUGUCUUCUGCAAAUCACAAUUAAAUGUUGAAUUAAUGGAAUUAAUGCUUCAUAAAUUUGCCGGCACUGCCAGUACUUUUUUUUUUUUUUAAUACGAAUUGAUGCUUUAUUUAUUUCUUCUUAGCGAUUUAAUUUCCUGUCAAAAGACGAGCGAGAAGAACAUAUGACUUAAACCAAUUGAUACUUUAUUUAUGUGCAUUGUAUGUAAUAAAAUUUUCUCUGUUUUUUUCAAAUUGAGGCUUUAUUUAUAUUUUCUUCGUGAAGAGUGAUUUAAUUUCCUGCCAAAAGACAAACGAGAAGAACAUUAGAGUCAAACUAAUGCUCACAUAAAUUUCCCGUAAGAAUAUAUAUAUAAUUAGACUGGAAUGCACACCUCUAGAUUGAACAGAAUUAAAGCUGAGAAAAUAUUGAGUAUAGUAGCCCUCUUUACAGAAAAUGACGCGAAAGUUAAUUUAGAAAGAUAUAUUCUUGAUUAAUCCAUUUUCUGAAGUUUUUUAUUUUGUAUGGUCAAUUAUACCUUCAUACUAAAAAAAAAAAAAAAAAAGAGAAAAUAUGUAAUCCAUGAAUGGUUAAUUUUGUUUGUUUGUUUUUUUUUCUUAAAUAUCAUUCUUUUUCGGCCACCCAAGGACAUUUUCACAAAUACCUUUUGUGUGCAGAAGUCUUCCAAACCAUCAAUGGAAAAAUAAAAAAUAAAAAAAACACGGUCCAGUAUACCUCAAAAUAUCAUUGAUGACUUUUCUGGUCUAAUGCUAUGUAAAUAGUAUGUUAAGUAAAACAUAAUCAGUUCAGUACCUCACAAAUAAUUCGCAAUAUCUACAAAAUACUAUAAUGGCUACAAAACAAAUCCUGCUUGCAAAUUGUCAAGGAUACCUAUCCGUUCGCUUGACAAGUCAUUUGAAUAAAUAUUGUUCACAUUCCUUACUCUGUCAAUUAUCCAAAGCACCAUCAACUUUAGUUUGAAUAGUAUACAUGCCAUCACCGUUACCAAGAAUCAAGCAUGGAAGGGUCAUUCUAUAGAGUGCAGAACAUGACUCUAUGCGGUAGUCAAUUUGACACACGACGAACACCAUAUGCUGCAUAACAUACAAAUUAAUUUCCCAUAUGUGAUGCAAUUUUCUCCUCAACAUAUGCGCAAUUCUUUCCAUUCCGGCAUUUACACUCAAAUUUUCCUUCCUUUCUCUUUGUGGUUGAAUCUUACACCACAACUCAUGUGAUGCAAUCUCCUCUCGCUGCCUAAAUUGCACUCUCAGCAAAGCAGCAUAUGUAAGCAAGCUUGAAGAUAAUCUUGCUGCUCUGCAGAAGAACGGCAAAAGUUAAUCGAAGCAAGGAAUGAUGUAUCAGAAAAUAUUUGGUGGAGAAUUCAGCACAAACAUAUUUCGGAUGAUCAGAAUCAAUAAAACCUGGUGGUUGUGCCAUAUAAACAUCUUUGGAAAGCUGACCUUGAAGAAAGGCGUUAUUGAUAUCCAAUUGAUGAAGAGGCCAGCCAUGACUAACAUCAAUACUAAGAACAAGCCGUACUGUGGUGGACUUAACAACUGGACUGAAAGUGUCAUAAUAGUCCACACCAGGCCAUUGAUUGAACCCUUUGGCAACAAGAUGAGCUUUAAACCUGUCAACAGAACCGUUGGAAUGUCUUUUAAUACAAAAAUCCAUUUGCAGCCAACAAUAUUGGAAGGGAUGGGAGGUGGAACAAGCUUCCAUGUCCCGUUACGAACAAGAGCAUCAUACUCUUCUGACAUAGCUGGACGCCAGUGAAGAUUUUUGAUAGCUUGCGUCACAGUUGUAGGUUCACAAUCAGAAGAAGGGCUAAAAUGAGCACGGAGGUUAAGUUUUUGUAACGGCUUGUGAAUCUUAUUUUUAGCUCGGGUAGUCAUAUCAUGAUGACUUGUGGGGCAAUGAUCUAGUGGAGUUUAGGAAGAUGAUUGAACAGGAAGUGAAGAAGUGCUUUGUGUAGAGGUAGAAGUAGGUUGGGAGGAUUGCUGCGGAGAUGUUACCGGUAGAGAAGAAGGAGCAGUACACGGUGGCAACUCCAGAGGGCCCACAAUAGAUGGAGUAGGUGCCGACAAUGGAGUACUAGGAAAUGAAACAGGAAGAAUUGGUGGAACACUUGCAUAAUUAGGAGUGGUAGAUGAGCUUGUAAUGAUUUGCAUGGAAAAACAAACUCUACAAAUUUAACGUGACGUGAAAUAAAAAUUUGAAAGGUGGAUGGGUCAAAACAUAAAUAAGCACUUUGAGAUAAAGGAAUAUCCUAGAAAAACACAAGGCUUAGAGGGUGGUUCGAGUUUAUGUGAUGAAACACAAACAUUCAAAAAAUUUUAAGUUUAUAUUAAUUAGGAGUGGUACCAAAAAUUAAUUAGCUAUGGGGUUGUUGGAUGUGUUUUGGAUAUUUACAGUUAAGUUUGAGUAUCUCAACUUAAAAUUUGUAGUUUUCACUUGAAAAAAUUCAGUUAAAUUUUGCAAUGCAGACUGAUUGAUUUAUCAGUUUAACGUGUGCCAGGAAUGAAGAACUGGAAUAUCACCGUCAAGCAAGCACCCUGUGGAGCAAUACCAAAGAAUGCACAAUCUGGCUUUGCUAGGUAACACUGGAGGCUUUUUGAAAAGUGCUUCACGCUCACUUGCACAGAUUGAGCAUCCCCUCUGGAUAUUGCCCUCUCUGAUCGAGUCUGAGCACUCAAAUUUUGGUCCUCAGAGGGAGCUACAGUUUUCUCUCCACUAACCAACAAUAUUCUAAACUCAGCACCUAGUGUGAUCAGAGUUGUUGAUAUUUGCAAAUGGAGAUCCCCAUAUUUGCAAAUGGAGACAUUUAACAAAUCACCAACAUGCUUCAUCCGGUCCACGAAAUUCUGCAACUGAUGCAAAUCUGGAACCUGAACCAGAGUCGGAGGUAUAUCUUGAGCCAUAUCUAAAGCAGUUUGAAGUUCAAGACCUUGAGCCCUUGACAAUGGUUUUGAAAUUGGAACAUCUUGGAUUACUGCAGACUUGUACCCCUUGGUUUCAAAGGUAAGGAAAGGCAUUGCUUGAGUACAAUUUGGAGGCAGCUUCUUCACCAAUUUUAUUUGGAGGCGAUUGGCAGCGGAUCCAGCUGCACCAAUUUCAGAGCAACUACUGACACUACUUCGAACAGCACACUGAAGAAGUGAUAUGUCUACGGCGAAGGCAAUGCAGUCCUCAUUUUGGCUUGAGACACAGUAAUCAUCGAAGAGAGUUUCCUUGUGAAACUGGGCAACACAUUGAAUCCCUUCGGCACUGAGAAGGUUGUGGAGGAAGUAAGCUUUCUCUCUAGUAAGGAAGAGGUGGCAUACAUUCCCCAUUUUGUCUAGGGCAGGUAGGAAUCUUUUUUCUAAGAGAUUUACUUCAUUCUCUGUGAGAAAUGCUUUGAACUUCAUCCCUCUGUCUCUAUCCUCACUUAUCAGUAAAAUAGUUGAAAGCGCUACAAGGAGAGAAAAGAAGAGUAUUAAGAUAUAUAUAUUAUAUAGACAAGAAAAACAUUAGAUGUCGAUCUUACAAGCUAAUACUUCAAACAAUAUCCUAGAAAGCUAAAAACUGCAAGAUGGCUUGAAAUUUGAAAAGAGCACGUGCUUUUCCUCCUUAACUUGAGAAAAUGUUUAAUAUAGUGCACCUUACAGAAGCAUUUAAGCAAUUAGAACUUUGCACAAAAACAUCAAGAAGACUAAACAAGUCAGAUGCAGUGUAUUUGUCCAAGCACAAAUUGCAUUUUGUCCUCAACUUUAAUAUUUAUUGAUGAGAAUCAAUACAGGUCCCUCAUUUGUUAUAGAAAGCUUUCUUGUAGUCUCACCAGUUAAUAUGGAUAUUAGAUAAGGAAACUUUAUUAGGUUGCGAGGGUAAAAAAGGAAAGAGAUAUCAUUAUUUUAUUAUCGAUAAUUAUUAAAUUUUUUUCCAAAAAAAAGAACAAGCAAGGAUAUUUUAUUGUCAAUUGCAACCUUUAAUUUUUUUAAAUGCUAUUAGAAACACAAGAUAACAAAAAUGUAGUGAGAUGGGAUCUCCUGCAUGCCACUCUGGUUUAGAACACAAAGAAUGUGUCUGCAUAAAUAUCCUCUGAAAUUGAACAACCCACAAACACAAAGCACCUCCAAGUCGGAGGCAUUGUACAAAACAUCAAAAGCCCUUGAAUCCUUCUCGUUGCCACCAACCUCGAAUUCUUCCUUCACUAUGUAUGUUAUAGGUCCAUCAGAACUAAUAUGUUUUGUGCUAUAGUAAGAGUACAUAGCCUCCACCUCCAUCUGAAACUUCCUUAACAUUUCAUUUGUGUACAGUUUUGAGAGUUGAAAUUCAUAGUAACAUCUUGGUUUCCGGAUACAACUUGAAUUUCUUGAAUCCAUAUCUGCCAAGGCUACCAGUUGAUAAUUCGCCUGCAGUGCUUGAUCAUACUUGUCUAAGAAUUCUUUCAAAGGAGUAUUCUUAUCAAGAUAUCCUUCAAAGUAUGAAGUAGAAACCUCAUUCUGCAGGAACGAAAACACUCCUGAUAAAAAAGCUUCCUUCAAAUAAAUAGGAGCCCACCUUUUAUGAUCUUCAUAUAAAGUUUGAAUCCAUCCGUGAUCCUUUAUUCCAUGACAUUGAAUCAUGUCUUCCCAAGCUGCUUCAAAUUUCUCAGGCCUGAGAGAGUGAUAAAUUGCUCUAUGUAAUGCAGCUUUAAUAGCUUCAUAUUCAAACAAUCCUUGGAGUUUCUCUGGAAUUUUUUUGCAUGAUGCAUGACAAUGAAAAGAAAUGAUAAGCUCUUGGGAAAACAUCACCAACAGCAAUUUGCAAGAUUCUACAUUGGUCAGUGAUGAUUGUUUGUGGAGAGCGCCCUAACAUACAUGUAAGCCACGCCGUAAACAACCAUGUAUAUGAUUCUAUGGUCUCACUGGCAAGUAAACCACAACCCAACAACACUGAUUGUCCAUGAUGAUUCACCCCAAUGAAUGAAACCAGUGGUACAUCAUAUCUUUCAGUCAGGCACGUAGUAUCAAUUAAGACCACAUCACCAAAGUACCUAUAUGCAACUCUUGACCUGGUAUCAGUCCAGAAUAGGUUUUUCAAGCAUCCCUUUUCAUUUAGAUCCACUACAUUAAAAAAGUUUGGAUCUGUCAACUGCAAAUGACAAAAGAAACUCUGGACAGCUUGUGCAUCUCCUGGUUUAAGCUUCAAUUGAUUUGAGCUAUUAACAUUAUUUCCAAAUACUCCAUUAACAUCUACCAUUUCCCUUGGUAUCAAUGAUAAGAGUUCGAAACAGUUUAAUUUUUUGAACUUCUUCAGCACUAUCUAAAUGCAAUGUUCUUUUGGUUCCAAUACCUAUGUGCUUAUGUGACUUGUAAAACUUUCCGCUUCUUGGGCUUAACAAGUGGUUAUGCUCAAGCUCGACUUCAAUGAUUCUCCACCUUUUGGUUUCCAUCAACCUAAACUUUAUCAUUGCUGGACAGCCAGUUCUUGUUUCUGGUCUUGGGCGGUUUGCCUCGCUUUUCUUCUUGAAGCCUGCACUACUACAGCUCAGCUUUCCUCUAUACUUUUCUCUACUCUUUCGGUACCAUGGAUUGCUAACUCUAACACCAAAACCCUGUUCCUUGGCAUAGCAAUUGUAAAAGUAAUAUACAUCAUCAUACAUCUCAAACUCCAUUCCAACAGUAGGAGGCAAGGGAUUUUGGAUUAUCCCAGUUUGUCCAACAUAUUCAGUCAUCGCACAAUCUCCUACAACCUCAAAAUCAUCAGUGUCAUCAUCACCUACUGGUUCGGUGUUGAGAGAAACUUCAUCCAUCUACAAUGGAUGUUCAAUGAAGUGAGCUUUAAGGAGAAAAAGCAAAAUCUGUUCAAGGAAUGAUAAUAUAAUCAUACAGUUACUUUCACAAAGCUUCAUAUUUCAUCACUGCUUUACCAACAUGCAACUGCCAGAGAACAAACAGACAUGUCAUAGACGCUUGAAUUAAGUAUUGGUACAAAUGAGCACACAUCAUGUGGGACAAAAUUUCAGUCACUAAACCCAAUACCACUUUUUACAUCAUACCAAGGAACAGAUUAAACCCGACACCUUCUUUUAAACCAUACCAAGGAACAGAUUAAAUCAUCAAUGAAAAAUUAAUCACAUAAUAACUUAACCAGACAAAUGAAGAGCCUGAAACAGCACAAAACUUGAAUCUGAUUAUGAUAAUUGUUGAGUCCUUGUAUCUACAGCUUUCCUUCAAUGAUAAGACAAUGAACAUAAACGAGACACAAAAAAAUUAUUUUAAACUGACAGCCCAUGAUAUAAAUCAAACAAAAUCAACUCCUUUUUUUACACAUUACAUCUCAUAUUCAUUUACAUUGAAACACAAAAAGGAAGCAGGAGUGGGAAAAAAACAACAGCAGAGGAACUUAUUUCCAUAAGGUUUACGAAAUAAGGAAUCUAUUAAAACCCAAAACUUGAGGUCACCACUAAGAAUUUGGUUCUCAUUAUUUUUUUCUUCAUUUUUCACCAAUUGAUGAACUUAAAAUACAAUCAUAAAUGAUAAAACCCCAUCUCCAUCUUUUUGAACUAGAGCUAAAGCAAAGCAUUUUAAGAUGUUUCAUCAUUUUUUUUUUUAAAAAAAACUCAAUAGUACAAUGUUUUUCAAUGCUAAAUGCACAAUUCAAUCUUCUCCUAAUUUACUCUAAUAAUCUCUUAAUUAAGGAAGAUUAAGCUUCAGUUGUAAGCUAAAACAAAUUUCUUAAAUCAAGCCCCAAUGCUUUAUGCUAUUCAACAAGGGCUCAUAAAUGAUAAAACUACUUCUAUAAAGAUACCCAUUUUCUAAAUUAAUUUCACAAACUGAAAUCAAACUCCUGAAACGUAACGAGCAUUAAUAUAAUCAAGCCCGAACAAGAAUUGAAAAAUGAUACAUAAACUCGUUUACACAUUUCGACAGACACUUUGCAAUCAAUGAGCAAAAAAUUAAUGGAGAAGAUAAAAUUCAAACGAAACAUGCCUUACAUUGAUAAAUUAGAAGGGCAAAAGAAAUUUUAGUACGAUAUGCGAUCAGGGUCUUGCCACGGUGAUGUUAUUUGUGAAGUUCGAGCGACUCAGCAGCCUUCGAGGUUGAAAAUUUGAUUGACCAAAAGCUUCCCGUUCGUUGAUUCUCUAAUAGUAGAAACGAGACUGGCAGUAUACACAAGAAGUUCGCCGAUUUUAAAUUCCGUUGUUUGAGAUGGAAAAUUUUUUGAAAAAAUUAAUGUGUUCGAUGAAAAUCAAAAUCUCAAAAACCUCUUGUUUUUCAUUUUUUUGGAAAAAACCAUUGAGAUCCUUACUAUUUUUUCUUAUAUCAUCUUCCUUAAUAAUUUGCAAAGUCUAUCGCAUAGCACCCAUGUAUGAUGUAUGCUGCGUUGUAAUUUACAAAAUUGCACAUGAAUAAAUCCAGCUAAAAUUUGUUAAAAGAAAAUAAUAAUAACAUGUUAAAACUUUAAAAUUUGAUUAUUCGAAGAAAUUUUAAUUUAGUUAAGUAGGUGACAUGAUAAUAAAUAGAUACGUAUAAUGUCCGAGAUUUUUUAUAAGAUUAAUAAAUAUGAUAAAUUUGGAUUAGUUCAAUUUUGACAUAAUUCAUAAUAAACACAGCUUGCUAAUCUAAAUUGCCACCGUUACUCAUCAUCAGGUACCUGUUUGAAAAAUAAUUACAAACAAUUUUAUUUGUGUUGUUUCUCUAAAAGUUUGAGACACAAAUGUUAUUUCAAAUUGAUAAAAGUACGAAAAUUCCCCCUUGCUCUUCAACUAAAAAUGAAACAUGCAAAUAUACACACUAAUUUAGAUGUGUGAAUAACAAAUAUGGAACGACACAUGCAAAGUCAUCUGUAUAAUUGAAACGCCAUGCACUAGUAGUAGGUAAGAGAAACCAAGGUUGAAGUUGCUCCAAUGGUUACUGUUAAUUUAUUUUUAUUUAUGAUUUUUUUUGUAAAAUGUAAGAAAUAUGUAGAAAUGUUGCCAGCAAUGAUUUUGGAACUUUGCAUAAAAUUUUUAUCAUUAUUGUUUUUGGUAUUAAGAAAUCCGAGGCGGUGAUUAGACGUAUGUUGCAACAAUUAAGAAAUUUCUUAUUGGAGAUAAUUUGGUAGGUUUGCAGCAAUUAGAGAAUAAUUUUCCUGCCAGUUAAUCAAUCAAUAAUAAAUUUCAAAUUGCAGAAAAUAAAAUAAUACAGCCUCACUUAGAAUCAUCUUUUCUAUCUCUUUCAAUUGUGGCAAUCAUUUGCAACAAAUAAAUCAAUUUGAUGCACAUCAUUUCCCCAAUUCAAAGUUCAAGUCACUGCUCAAUUACAGAGUAGUUAGUGGACAUGCAUGCAUGUUUAAUUAAGUACUGCAUUGUAGUAUCGAAAAUCAUAACAUCUCACCAAUAUCAGAUUAUUAACCAUGGAAAUCAUAUCACAAUAUCAUAUAGAAUUCACAAAUCUGAAAAUCAUCACCAAACAAGUACCCAGAGAAAUAAUCUCGUCAUAUCCAGACCUCAACGGACGGGCAAUGACGUACUAUUUGGGUAACGUCACACCCUGGAGCUACACGGAUAAAUAGGAAAAUACCAUCUCAUAUCUCAUCAUAUUUGUGCAUGCAUAAUCUAGUCCCCAAGGGACAAAAGCGCCCAAGCACACGGCCCAAAGCCUCUAUGUGUACUCAGACGGGCCCCAAAGGCCUGUAUCUCAUAUGUAUCAUAUGUAUCAUUUGUAUCUCAAUAUCUGUUUGUAUCUCAUUUCCGUAUAUCUAUAAUCAUCAUACCGCAUGCAUAUGCCCCCAAAAGACAAAAGCGCCCAAACACAUGGCCCAAAGCCUUUAUAUGUGUUUAGACGGGUCCCAAAAGCCUCUUAUCUCAUCUUAUCUGUAUCACUGUAUCUGGAGAGAAGGGUACUGUCUAAUGAUUUAAAAAACAAUCAUUAUACUCAUAUUUACAUACCUCUUAAUCAUAUUUGAAAUCAUAUCACAUUUGAAUCCACUUUUCUAAUCUUUAAAAUAUUAUCAUGCUUUAUUCAAAGUCGAUACGCAAAAUCAAUAACCAAACAUUUUAAAUCAAAUUAUUAACCAUGGAAAUCAUAUCACAAUAUCAUAUAGAAUUCACAAAUCUGAAAAUCAUCACCAAAUAAGUACCCAAAGAAAUAAUCUCGUCAUAUCCGGACCUCAACGGACGGGCAAUGACGUACUAUCUGGGUAACGUCACACCUUGGAGCUACACGGAUAAAUAGAGAAAUACCAUCUCAUAUCUCAUCAUAUCUGUGCAUGCAUAAUCUAGUCCCCAAGGGACAAAAGCGCCCAAGCACACAGCCCAAAGCCUCUAUGUGUACUCAGACGGGCUCCAAAGGCCUGUAUCUCAUAUGUAUCAUAUGUAUCAUUUGUAUCUCAAUAUCUGUCUGUAUCUCAUAUCCGUAUAUCUAUAAUCAUCAUACCGCAUGCAUAUGCCCCCAAAAGACAAAAGCGCCCAAACACAUGGCCCAAAGCCUUUAUAUGUGUUCAGACGGACCCCAAAAGCCUCUCAUCUCAUCUUAUCUGUAUCACUGUAUCUGGAGGGAAGGGUACUGUCUAAUGAUUUAAAAAAUAAUCAUUAUACUCAUAUUUACAUACCUCUUAUCAUAUUUGAAAUCAUAUCACAUUUGAAUCCACUUUUCUAAUCUUUAAAAUAUUAUCAUGCUUUAUUCAAAGUCGAUACGCAAAAUCAAUAACCAAACAUUUUAAUAAAAUACCAAUGCAUAAAUAAAAUUCAUUUCGAGAAAUCAUUAAAUCAGAACAUUUAAAAUACUUAUUUCGCAAACAUGCUUUACUAUCAUCGCUAACUAUGAAAAUAAGUUUUGUAUAUUCCACUUUCAGUGAUGGUGUUCACGGUCGGUUAUCGUCCAUAUCUGCAGACCGAUUCUCGCUCGCGAAUCCUCCUAAAUCAAGGAAACGACAUAAUUAUUUUUUGUAAAUCGGAAUUAUGACUAAAUUUUAUGCAAUAAACUCAAAACGAACAUCUAUUCAUAAUUGACAACUCCUAUAUCCAUAAAAUUACUAAAAUAUCCUUGAGUCCGUAGAUCAUUAACAUGCUCCGAAAUCGUAAAUCACUGAAUUACCCUCGGAAUCGUAAUUACACCCGAUCCUCAAUUAUAGGAAUUACUAACAGAUCCACAGGCUUAGAAAUUACAAAAUUGCCCUCGUAGUGUGAAAUUACCAAAAGCCGGAAGUUGGUCAACAAUGGCUAGGAAGCUCAAAUCGUAAAGUUCCAAUCACGCUGAGUUCAAUGGUACCGGCGGUGAGCUCCAACGCGCGACAACGAUGCCAGAAUCUAGCUCGGCAGCCGUGAAUUCCACCAAUCGACCGGCGGCACAACAGUGACUCUCGGUGCCUAUGGAUGGUCGAAAAUGGAAGAGGGAGCCGUGGGGAACAAAAUCCAACCGGUGGUGUCACCAAAACCGGUGAAAAUCCCGGCGGAGCAAAGUGAAACAGUCGCGGGUUUCAUGCUUCGAUCGCCGGUGUUCCGAUUGGUUUUUGGCGAGGAGGAUGGCAAGGGAACGACAGCCGGCUUCUAAGCUUCAGAUUGGUACCAAGCUCGGCCGAAACGAUGGCCGGAAAUGGGAGAUAUGACCGGGUCAAGGUCGCGGGUUCCGGGUCGGGUUUUUUGGUCUGUAGUUGGGUCGGUUUGGUAGCUUCUCUCUCACUCUCUGUUACACGUGCAUAUGUUUCCUCUGUUUCCAGCUUAUUCUUUUGCUUUUACUAACUUCUUAACCGCCUCAUACUUAUUCAUUUUUAAUUCACAUAUGUUACAAUAAUUCCCGAGUAUUAAAUAACCAGUGGUCAUAAUUUUUGUACAAGAUUCUUUUUUUUUUUUGGAGAUCGUUAAAAGUGGUUGACGAUCCAUUUCGUAAUAUCAUAGAGGGAUCAUCAAUUCCUUUUCUUUUCUGUGGCUAGGCAACACUUUUUGGCCAAAGUAAGGAAAUCUAUUUUAGGUAAUGUAAAAACCAGUUGUAGGAUGUAAUAGUUUAUUAUGCACUGACAAUAACUUUUUGUAUAAUUGUCAGUUUAAUGAAUGCAAGAGGAACUCUGUUGGCAAAUUCAUCCAAGAUAGAUGCUAAAAUUAUUUAUGCAUGCCAGUUGCCUUAACUAAGUUUUCUCAGCACUGGUUUUGAACAGGAAAAUGAAUAUGCAAUUUGUAUAUUGUGCCAUAGUGGAGAAUUUGGAUAUUCUUAUUUAAGUAACAAGGAGAUUAUUUGCCUCAUCUUUAAACAAUGAAUCUUUGAGAGAUGAGGAGUGGGUGAUUGGAUGUGUCUUCAUGUAAUUGUUCAUUUAUUUGUAUUUUGAACUGUUAUGAAAAUCUUUAUAUGCCAAAUUAGUAAUACAAGUAUUCAGAUGAUUUUUCCUAUUGAUCAUGCAUUUGUAUCUGCCCACAACCAUUGUAUAUCACUUUAUUCUGAUGCGCAAGCAUCUGUAAUUUAGAAGAAAAGAAAUAAUAAUCAUAUUUUAUUGCUUGGUUCAUGAUUAUUAACGAUUAUGGCUUUAAAAAUCUACAAAUUUCUUGUGUUCAUGUAUGAAUGUGCCAAGUUUGCUGUAUCUUAGAUUACCUUCUUCCAAGGUAACAAGUUCAUAUAUAUAUAUUUUUUAAAUCAUUUUCCAUUACAGUUGAAUUUCAAGUGUUAGUUUUGUUAUUAGUACCUGGUUUCCUGUUAUAAGGAUCUAAUAAACAGUGUACGGAUAUGUGCUCUACUUUUGGAGGGCUUCCACGUGAAAGAAAAUUACAACAAUUGAAUUCUUCCGGAGGAUAUGGUAAUUAAUUUAUUUUCUCAACUUCUUGUAAGACUAAUAUAUUUCCUUCAGUAGGCACAGCAUGGUGGGAAGGGUUUUUAUUGAAAGAAUUCUGAUAUUUCUUAGACUUUGUUUUGGAAGGGGGUGGAGGAAUUUCUCAUCCAUAUAUGGUUACUUGAUUAGCUUUUGACUGUAUUGUCUCUGUCGUGCAAAGGAAAAUCUAAAUACUAACGAUGGGGAAUUGCUUAGGCACCCAAAAGGCAGAAAUGAAUUACAGAAGGAAGUUUUUGCUGCUUUAUUUAGUGCUGCUGAGAAAUCUGAUGAAUUUCCUGAAAUUACGGUGAAGACCGAGUGGAGGUCCAAAGCAUUAGGAAAGGUGGUGAGUGAACUGCCGGAGGAAUUUGUACCAAAAUACAAGGCUAAUGUGGUGCACUUGCAGCAAGAUAACCAGACCGGUAUGUGCUCUUAUAUUAACUAUAUUGACUGGAUUUGUGAGUGUGUGCAUUUUUUUGUGUAUACUCACUUUUGUAUUUAUGCAUAUUAACAUGUGUAGGAUUCUUGAUUUCUGCCACUUACUGGAGAACUAGUGGAAAGCUUUAUAUUGAUAUAUCUGCAAUAACUAAUGGAAACUAUGAUAUGAAUAUUUUCUCUCACCUGGGGAGCUGUGUAACAGAUAUACUUUGUGGCUCUGGAAUGCUGAAGAUUCUGCAAUAACUAAUGGAAAAUAUGAUAUGAAUAUUUUGUCUCACCUGGAGAACUUUGUUACAGAUACCCUUUGUGGCUCUGGAAUGUCUAAAGAAUGCUUUAGUUAGAUCAAAUAUCUUUUAGUUAGAAAAGAUAAAAUUCUCUGAGUCUGAAAGACUGAAACAUUUUGCAUAUUUUGUGAAAGGGAAAUAUCUGUUGAUACUAGCUCAUGCAUUGAGGUAAUAUCGAUGUUAAAGAAAAACAGCAAUGAUUUAUGAUAUAGAAUUGGGUUCACUUGCUUCAAAUGCUGGUCUGAUCAACCAUAUCAACCUGUAAUGAUUCUGCAGAAAUAUAUAUACAUGGAGAAAGUAGCUAAAUUUUUCUUUCAUUUAUGGGUUCGGUCUUUUUUCCCCUUAUUUUUCAGCUUUCCUUCUCCUGAAGUAUGUUAACAAUUGCAGAUAAUGAUGAAGACGACAGCUUCCGGGCUCUCCUUAGAGCCGUGAUGGAAUAUAGGGGCACAAUGAAGGAAUAUUGUAAAGCUGUAGGUACUUUUUCUCCUUUCAUUUAUGUUUUCUCACACAUUUUGUAUAUGCCCUGAACAUGCACCUUUGUAUGUAUCAAUUGACUUUUAAAUUUUAAAAGCCAUAAAGUAAGAAUACGGUUCCUUGUCAGGCUACUGAUGACAUUCGCUCAGGGGGAUCAUGUUCGAGCAGGAAAAUUUCUAGAACAGGUAAGGUUUCCAUCUACAGCCAUCCAUUGACAGCAGAUACAUUUUCAUUCAGCAGACUCUGUUAGCAUUCAAGAUGCUGGCAGAUUCACUUGAUUCUUAUUAGCUUGUUUAGUGGCAAAGCCUAUAACCUGUAUUUCAAAGCCAAGUUGUGCUAUUGAUUAUGUUAACUUUUUUGUUAACAUAAAAUGAUAUGGAGGAAAUAAUCAGUGUUGGAAAAUUAGGUGAAAAGAUGAUGUCAAAUCUUGAACCUCUUACGAAACUCUAAGUUCUUUACUUGAAGAGGCUACGAAAUUUGAACAGCGUCUACUCGAAGGCCUUGCCAUUCCCUGAUGCAUGCAGAAUUUUUGUAUUUAAAUGCCCAGAGCUUAAGAAGCUGCCACUGGAUCUUGAAGGGGCAGACCAAGGUAAAAAUCUUAUCAAGGGAAAGGAAGAUUGGUGGAAACAACUUAAUGGGAGGAUCAAGUAACUCAGAAUGCAUUGCUUCCAUUUUUUAAAUUGACUGACAAGUGAUUGAACGGGGCAUCAUCAACAUCAUCAACAGGGAUGGAGAGAUACCGGAGCAGAUCAGCAGGGUUUGAAUAUGACCUUUGGCGGUUGCUUUUUUUUUGUGAUUUUUUUUUCAUUUUUUCCUUCCUGUCAUUUUAUCAUUUCUUUCUCUGUUUCUAUUGCGGGUGUUACUGCAUGCUUACUGUUGCUUGACAAAGUUUGCUAGCUUUUUGUUUGCAGUGUUGCUAUACACUCCGAGUCAAGCCUCGAAAAUUUAUUAAACGAAGCCGUUUCGACAGUAACAAUUCUUUUCUUUUCCCUUUGCAUGUCUCUUUCAUCUGCUGUUUCUCUAUCACUUUUCAUUUUUGAUUUCCUUGCUUCUCAGCUGCCCCUAAAUUGUUAUUCUAGCAAUAUACUUUCUCAUCUUUGAAUUUUCAUCCUUGAGUACUCCCACAGCCGUAAUUUCAUCAUCAUAGACUUCACUUGGAAUGCUGUAUUUUUUCGAUUCUUGAGCUACUUCAAUUACAUCUUAGUAUAGGAUCCUCAUCUUCCUUUAUUUCUUCAUCUUAUGAGGUAAUAAAUGGAUUUCACAACUCAUCUACUUUUAAGCAAUUACAUAUUAUACCUUGAAUGAUUCAACUGUUCUGACAGUUAAAGAUUUUAUGCUCAACCUGCAGUGCUACGAACAUUGUCCAUGAAAGAUGAGUUUCAGCAUAUAAAAUGAAAUAUAGAUGUUUAAUCUAAAAUAACCCUUCACUGCCAGAAACCUAGGUCACAAAAUUCACAGAUAAUGAUAAAGAGCUAAAAAAUUUGAAAAACUCUACAGAUCACACAUCAAGCAAGAUAUCAUGUUUUUUUCCCUCAUUCAGUGGUGAUUGAUUCGCUUUUUGAUGAUGGAUAUGGUAUAAAAGUGUUGACCCAAUUUCAAGCAAACACAAAUAGAAACACAAACACAAUCGGGACUAGAGUUGUGGGCGAUUAUCUUAGGUGUACAAGUGAAACGGUGGUGGCUGUCGAUGGUGGUAGUGGGGUGGUUGGGUAUGCGUGAUGGCUAGAUUUUAGGACAAUAAUGAUUGGAGUUGACCUCAAUCAACGAAGGAAAGUGACAACAAUUUUGACAUCAAACGGUGCAUUUUUUAGCUUAGUAAAAUGGAGCCGUUUCGAUUUUGGGGUUUAAUCCGGGGUUUGACUCGGUGCAAGUAUCAUUUUCCUUUUGUUUAUUAAAUUUUUUUAUGGUCACAAAGUAUCACUCGUUCUAUUUGAGAGUCAUGUGAAUCAAUUUUUCAAAUUUUCAAUUUUAAAUUUUGUGGUCAAUGUGAAUUCAAUUUCAUUUGUCUCCUGCAAUUAUGAAAAAAUUAAAUAGUCAUAAUAUGGAAAAAUACACCGGUAAAAACUUUGUAAAAGCUUCGGAGUGAUACGGGGAAUUCACUUACUACUAAGGACAAUUGGUGGCAAGCUAUUCCAUUCAUUUUAUGUCCAUCCAUCUAUUUAGUUAUUGAAGAUAAGUGGUCCAUUUGUAAAUUUCAGAUUGUCUCUCUCUCCCUCUUGAAAUAACAAUAUUUAAUAUAUCUCAUAAAUUAUUAUAAAUUUUAAUUUACUCUCGAUUUAAAAUGGAGCAUGUCGAUAAAUUUUUUUUCUUCUUAAUAAAAUUGACGUAAGUUGUGUUUACAGUAGUUUGAAGUUUGAAAUAUUUUAAAGAUUAUUAUUCUAUAAGGGAGUAAUAUGAAAUGAUAUUUACUUUUCAUGUGUGAAAUGAAAAAGGACGAAGCAAGUGUCCCUGCUUUUAUUUUAUUUCAAGGAGGAGUCAUCUCACAUACUUUAGCUCUUAACAUUACAUUUUUUCUGGUUACAUUUUUUAUUUAUUUAUUUUUUUUUUUUUACACAUGCGUGUGGGUUGCUUUUCUGUAAGCUCCUUAAUAUAUAUUUAAGACAAAUCAUGGAAGAGAUGGGAUUAUAUCAAGAUGAUCAAAGAAUGUUAAAAAAGAAAAAAGAAAAAAAAAAGAAGUAAGACACUGAAAAUGGAGAAGAGAUGGAAGCAAAAGAUAUUCCAAAACAAAGCAAUCUAUCCCCUUUCGAGGGCAGACUUAUCAGGUUUAAAAAAGUACACGCUUUGGAUUGGUAGUUGCAAUCAAGGGAAAAUAAAUAGGAUCCAAUGAAAUUUAAAUCUCGGAGAAAAUAAAUAAUCAUGCAGAUUUUCAAGAUUUUAAUAAGGGAUACUAAUAUCUUAUUUUGAUUAAUAAUAUCCUUUCAUUGUGUUAACUCAAAAAAUAUAUAUUUUAAUGUUUUGCAAUAAACAGAAACGUACUAUUAAAAUGAAUAUAUAAAGAAUUUAGAAAAUUUUGAAUGUUAUAUAAAAUAAUUUUAAGAUAAUGCGUGAGAUAUAUUUUAUUAAUUUAAAAUGUUAUUUUACCUAAAAAAUAUGAUAAAUUAAUAAUUACAUAUUUGAAGUUAUUUUAAAUAUUAAAAAAAUUUAAUAUUAUUAAUCUUUUAGAUAGAUUAAAUUAUUUUUUAUAAGAGAUAGAUUAAAUUAUUUUAAAAUACGUUAAUUGUUUUUACUUUUAACGUUACCGGCCUUUCUUUUAUUUUAUUGCAAAUUAAUGCUAACAAGAAAAAGCUAGAUCAUAUUCCACAAAAGCAAAAGUGACAAACACAACCAGCUGGAAUCUUUUAAUUACUAUUCAAUAAUUCGAGACGAUUAGGGUCUUUUAUUAAACUACAAAUUGUAUAGUCUUUUUAAAAUUGUUAUAAAUUGGUGGCACCUACAAUCCUCAAUAAUUGUACCGAUAUUCACAAGUUGGUGGCCCCUACAAUUCUGUUCGGAUAAUUUAACUGUGCAAGUGCUCAUUCACAAUAAUUGUUUUGUUUUUUUUUUCUGCAUUCCCUUUCAUGCUCUUAAUAAUUGAAGAGCAUACUUUUCAUUUUCAAAUGUGGAGCCGCAGCUAAUGUCGCUAAUUUAAUUUGGGAUUAAAUUAGGGGACCAUUAUAUUGCAGUGUGCACUAAUUUUUGUGUUUAUCUAAACUCCUUAAAUUUAAGACAUAUUAUGGCAUAAAUAAGAAUAUAACAAUAGCAAAAGAGUUAAAAAGUGUAGAGAAGAUCUUGCAGAAAUAUAAAUAAUAUCUAUUUUAAAAUAAUAUCAAUAUUUAAAAUAAUUUUUAAUAUUUUAUGAUUCAUUAGAUAUAUUUUAUUAUAUUAAAGUAAAUUUUAUAAUAAAUAAAAACAUACUAUUAAAAUGAAUAUAUAGAAAAUUUAGAGUAUUUUAAGUAUUAUAUAAAAUAAUUUUAAUAAAAUAUGUGAGAUAUUCAUAUUUUAUUAAUUUAAAAUACCAUUUAACCUAAAGAUUUAUUUAUGAUAAAUUAAUAAUUAUAUUUUUGAAGUUACUUCAAAUAUUAAAAAUAUUAAUAUUACUAAUCUAUUAGAUAGAUUAAAUUAUAUAUAUUAUUUUCUAUUUAUUAAAAAAUUUAAAAUUAUUUUUAAUUACUAUUCAAAAAAUAUAAUGAUAAAAAAGAAUCUUAACAUCUUUAUUAAAAAUUUAAAAAUUUACAUGAUCAAUUCUCUAAAUAUUUAGGGUUAUAUGUGAACAACGGUGGAGAAGCUUUAUUUAAUAUUAUUGAUUUAAAUAAUAUGUCAAUUAAAAAUGUACAGAGAAGGAAAUUUCGGUGGGUAUUUUAGUCUUUUCAGCAAUUAUCAUGAUCAGAUCAGCCUUUAGCCUUGAAUCGUCGGUCAGAAAAGUUUUAAAAUUAACGCUAACAAGAAAAAGCUAGGUCAUAUUCCACAAAAGCAAAACUGACAAAACAACCAGCUGGUUUCUUUUACUAAACUACAAAUUAAAAGUGGAUUCUUUUGAAUGCAAGUGGGACAGACGAUUAGGCUCUUUUUAUUAAAGGCAAGUAAAAACUAGUCGAAUAGUCUUUUUCAAAUUGUUGUUUUAUUAUUUUUCCUUCAAAAGUUAGUGUGGCUCAUGUUUGCAGGUGCGAAUGUGGGUCCCGAAUCAUUACUAAAAUUUCUAUUCCACAGCCCACCGCAGCUUCAGUUAAUCAAACUCAAAUCAAUUUUCUUUCUUAACAAAAUAUUCCAAAGAUGUGUAGCAUUUUUCAGAUCACAUGCGAUGGUGCUCUUUUCAAUCGUUGCUUGGAUUGCUUUCUUGGAAAAGCAGCAUACAUACGUAACCUCCAAGAUAAUGUUGAUACCUUGGGCACUGAAUUGGGAAAUCUGAUCGCUAGAAAGAACGAUCUGAUGAGGAGGGUUGUCGAUGCUGAACGGCAACAAAUGAGAAGGCUGGACGGAGUGCAAGUGUGGGUUUCGAGGGUGGAUUCUGUUAAAACUGAAGCUGAUCAAUUUAUAAGAGACGGCUCUCGAGAAAUUGAAAAAUUAUGUGUUGGAGGCUACUGUUCCAAGAAUUGCAUGUCAAGCUACAAGUUCGGGAAAAAAGUGGCUAAAAAGCUACGGGAUGUGCGGACUUUAAUCAGUGAAGGAGUUUUUGAGGUGGUGGCUGACAGAGCUCCAGAGUCUGUAGCAGAUGAAAGACCUACUGAGCGAACAGUAGUAGGCUUGCAAUCACAACUUGAACAAGUCUGGAGAUGUCUUGUAGAAGAAUCAGCGGGAAUCAUUGGCCUAUAUGGUAUGGGCGGUGUUGGUAAAACUACACUACUGACCCAUAUCAACAAUAAAUUUCUCGAGAGUCCAACCAACUUUGAUUGUGCGAUUUGGGUUGUAGUUUCAAAAGACCUGCGACUCGAAAAAAUUCAAGAAGAUAUUGGGAAAAAGAUAGGUUUGGUUGGUGAUUCAUGGAAGAGUAAAAGUGUAGAGGAGAAAGCUGUCGACAUCUUCCGGAGUUUAAGAGAGAAGAGAUUUGUAUUGUUGUUAGAUGAUAUAUGGGAGCGGGUUGAUUUAACAAAGGUGGGCAUUCCACUUCCCGGACCAAAAAAUACUACCUCAAAAGUCGUAUUCACAACCCGUUUCAUCGAUGUUUGUGGUAGCAUGGAAGUUGACAGGAAGUUUCAAGUAGCAUGCUUAUCAGAAAAGGAUGCUUGGGAACUGUUUCGAGAAAAAGUUGGGGAGGAAACUCUUCAGAGUCAUCAUGAUAUCGAUGAGCUAGCCCAAAUUGUGGUCAAAGAGUGUGGUGGUUUGCCACUCGCACUUAUUACUAUUGGUCGAGCUAUGGCCUACAGAAAGAAAGCGGAGCAGUGGAGACGUGCAAUUGAAGAGUUAAGGAGAUCAGCUUCAGAGUUUGCAGGUUUGGGAAAAGAGGUUUAUCCUCUUUUAAAAUUCAGCUAUGAUAGUUUGCAGAAUGAUACGGUUAGAUCUUGUUUCUUGUACUGUUGUUUAUAUCCUGAAGAUUAUGGCAUUCUUAAAUGGGACUUGAUUGAUUGUUGGUUUGGCGAGGGAUUUUUUGGGGAAUCUGACAGGUCUGGUGCAGAAAACCAAGGAUAUGACAUUUUGGACACUCUUGUUCGUGCGUGUUUAUUAGAAGAGGUGGAAGAUGAUGAAGUAAAAAUGCAUGACGUUAUUCGUGAUAUGGCUAUAUGGAUAACUUGUGAAAUUGAGAAGGAGAAGAGAAACUUUUUGGUUCGUGCAGGUGCUGGAUUAAAAGAUGCACCGGGUGUUAAAGGAUGGGAAAAUGUGAGAAGAUUGUCAUUGAUGCAAAACCAAAUUGAAACUCUGGCAGAGGUUCCCACAUGCCCUCAUCUCCAUACUCUAUUUCUUGACUUUAAUAGGGGGUUGGAUAUGAUCGCGGAUGGCUUCUUUCAAUUUAUGCCUUCUCUCAAAGUUUUGAAGAUGUCAAACUGUUCGAAUUUGAAAUUACCUGUUGGGAUGUCAGAGUUGGGUUCAUCACUAGAACUUCUUGAUAUUUCAGAAAACAGCACAAGAGAGUUACCGGAAGAGUUAAAGAAGUUGGUAAAUCUGAAAUGUUUGAAUUUGAGGUGGACAGAGCAUUUAAAUAAAAUUCCACGGCAACUAAUAUCAAAUUCUUCAAGGUUACGUGUGUUGAGAAUGUUCGCUACUGGCCGGUUCAAUUUUCAUGAAGCACCAGAAGACAGCGUUUUAUUUGGUGGGGGUGAAGUUUUGAUACAGGAAUUGCUCGGUUUGAAAUAUUUAGAGGUAUUGGAGUUGACCUUGGGAAGUUAUCAUGCUCUCCAAAUUCUUUUGAGCUCAAAUAAGUUAAAAAGUUGUAUUCGAUCUCUUUACCUCGAGUUGACCGGAGAUACAACGUCAAUUAUUGAUGCUACGGCUUUCGCAGAUCUAAACCACCUCAAUGAAUUACGGAUUGAUAAUGGUAUUGAGUUGGAAGAGUUGAAGAUUGAUUAUACGGAGAUAGUACGAAAAAGGCGGGAACCUUUUGUUUUCCGCAGCCUUCAACGUGUUACCAUAGCGGAGUGCCAUAAAUUGAAAGAUGUGACAUUCCUCGUUUUUGCUCCAAACCUCAAGUCUCUUCGGCUAUUCUAUUGCGGUGCUAUGGAAGAAAUAAUCAGCGUCGGAAAAUUUGCUGAGACUCCUGAGAUGAUGGGACAUAUAAGCCCUUUUGAAAAUCUCCAAAUGCUUGAUUUACAAGGUUUGCCACAUUUGAAGAGCAUCUUCUGGAAGCCAUUGCCUUUCACUCAUCUGAAAGAAAUGGAGGUACUUAGGUGCGAUCGGCUUGAAAAGCUUCCACUCGAUUCCAACAGUGCAAAGGAGCGCAAAUUUGUUAUUCGUGGAGAAGAAGACUGGUGGAACCGACUUCAAUGGGAGGAUGAAGCCACUCAAAUUGCUUUUCGUUCCUGUUUUAAAAGUGAUGCUUUAUUUAUAUCUUAUUCGUGAAAAGUGAUUUAAUUUCCUGCCAAAAGACGAACGAGAAGAACAAUAGAGUCAAACUAAUGCUCACAUAAAUUUCCCGUAAGAAUAUAUAAUUAGAUUGGAAUGCACACCUCUAGAUUGAACAGAAUUAAAGCUGAGAAAAUAUUGAGUAUAGUAGCCCUCUUUACAGAAAAUGACGUGAAAGUUAAUUUAGAAAGAUAUAUUCUUGAUUAAUCCAUUUUCUGAAGUUUUUAUUUUGUAUGGUCAAUUAUACCUUCAUACUAAAAAUUUCUGAAGUUAUAAAUUAGUGCAACUUGACAAUUUUUACUGAUGAUAUCUUCUAUUUUUCCCUUUUUUUUUUUUUCACUUUCAUAGACUGGCAGCGGAUCCUGCGGCACCAAUUUGAGAGAAUAUACUGACACUACUUCGAACAGCAAGCAGAAGAAGUAAUAUGUCUACGGCAAAGGCAAUGGAGUCCUCAUUUUGGCUCGAGAUGCAGUAAUCAUCGAAGAGAGUUUCCUUGUGAAACUGGGCAACACAUUGAAUCCCUUCACCACUGAGAAGGUUGUGGAGGAAGUAAGCUUUCUCUCCAGUGAGGAAGAGGUGGCAUAUACCUUCCCCAUUUUGUUGAGGGCAGGUAGGAAUCUUUUUUCUAAGAGAUUUACUUCGUUCUCUGUAAGAAAUGCUUUGAACUUCAUCCCUCUGUCUCUAUCCUCACUUAUCAGGAAAUAAGUUGAAAGCACUAUGAAGAGAGAGAGAGAGAGAGAGAGAGAGAGAGAGAGAGAGAAUUAAGAUAUAUAGACAAGAAAAAUAUUUGACGUUGAUCUUACAAACUAAUACUUCAAGCAGUAUCCUAGAAAGCUAAAAACUGCAAGAUGGCUUGAAAUUUGAAAAGAGCACAUGCUUUUCCUCCUUAACUUGAGAAAAUGUUUAAUAUAGUGCACCUUACAGAAGCAUUUAAGCAAUUAGAACUUUGCACAAAAACAUCAAGAAGACUAAACAAGUCAGAUGCAGUGUAUUUGUCCAAGCACAAAUUGCAUUUUUUCCUCAACUUUAAUAUUUAUUGAUGAGAAUCAAUACAGGUCCCUCAUUUGUUAUAGAAAGCUUUCUUUCUUGUAGUCUCACCAGUUAAUUCAGAGGUCUAUAAUCAUCUUGCAAAGUUAAGGGCAUUUCUUUUGAUCUAAAGUCUUUGCAUCACCACCUCAUCACACGCCAAGCCAAUAUUCCAUUUACCUCUACAACAAAAAGUUUUAAUUAAACAAUCCUAAUGCACGCAGCCAAAUAAAAUGCAGUAAGAAUAUUCAACUUAAAAAUCUGAAAGCCAACUUGGUGAAUUGCCUCCUUAGGUGAAGUUCCAUGCUUUACUAUAGUUGACAGAACUCAGCAAAAGCUUCCAUACAACAGAUUUUGAAAAUGAUGAUGCCAACAGAUACUCAUUCAAUGCAUUGAAACUCCAAAGGUUCAUUGUUCAUAGAAGUUUACAGAGUUUUGGUCAUCAAAUAGCUCAGACCUAAUCCCAAACAAAAAAUGAGUGAAAAUUAGAUCACGAGCAGCUAAUUGUAAAUUCUAACUUAACUCUUCAUCUCCUUUGUAAACAAGAAACAAAAUGGAGACACGCAAAAUGAAUAUGGAGAAAAUUUGAACUCAAAUGAAAUGAGGGCAUGAAAGCAAACAAAUGGCAUGCACCAAAAAACCAAGCCUCAAUCAAAAACUAAUUAACCAUUAAGAAAAAAAUUGGUCAGAGAAUGAACUCCAAAUUCAGGAGUCAAGCAAGAAGCUUUCAUUAUUAUCAAAGUCAAUUAUCUUUGUUAGUAUGCGAGUGUGACGACUAUAGGUUGUUCUUUUUCUAAUGUCAUAUGAUUCCAAUUUUAGGUACAGGGCAUCUCUCUCUCUCUCUCUCAUCGCUAAGUGGAUAUUUUUCUCUUUUGUCAUAUACUUUAGUUAUUCUUCAAUUUACUAACUAAAAUGAAGGCCGCUUUAUUAAGAAGUUAUAUCCAGUUAUAUAAUUUGUUGUAUUUAAUAUAUGUUUGGGCUCAUAAUUUUUUUUAAAAAUAUAUAUUUCAUUCUCCAUAAUUUUUUCCCAUCAUAGCUACGAAACGUCUUAGUUUCGACUAAAAUCCUAAAAUUGGUCCUUAAUUGAAUAUGCAUUGCAAUUUGCAAAUGUAAUAUUGUGAAUGGGACACUGGAGAUACCAAAAUGGUCAAAUGCGAAAUAAGUUAGGAUUGUACGAUGUAGUUUGUAUUCAUAUUCAAUGCCUUUUUUUUCAAAAAACAAAUUGAAAUGCCAUUACUAAACGAUUCUUGAUGAUGGGAGCCACCGUGCCAGCUUUGUCGCUGAUUUGGUAUUAUUCUUAACUUGCAGAUAGUUGUGGAUAUGAUAUGCAAAAAGGUAAGGACUAUAUCUUCUUGAUGGAGGCCUCUGAUUUUUUCCCUUCUAUGUAAUUUAGUAAAUCGCAUUUUCCCUUGUGAUUGAUAUAUCAUACCAAAGUCAAGUCUUAAAUACUGCUGUCAUAUGUUAAGGUUCAACUUCCAUUUUGAUUAACGUCCAUUUGCUGCUGCUUCCAAAAGUGAGAAUGAGAUACUUUGGUUAAUUUCAGUAGUUGAACCCAAUAGAGUACUUUAUUUAGAUCUUCAUGGUUCAAAGGCCUGAAAAAACUUGCCGGUAUUUGCAAAAUGACAUUCUGUGCUUUUAUUUAGGCUUAUUAUUUAAGUGAUAAAAACUCCCGUAACCUGCUGUCAAGAAAAUUUCAGAUUGUUAAAAGACAACAUUUUGUUUCAGCCAAAAAUGUUUGUUUCGAUUAAAGACUUGAACCAUUUUCAUUUAACCUUGAUUGUGAUGCUUUACAUUAUGCAUGUUCCUCUCAAUCAAUAAAAGUUGAGGUCAUGAUUUUAUAUUUCUAUUUUGUAACUUGAAAUAAUUGGUCUGCCUGUUUCUGUAGCUUGAUAACAUGAAUUUUUCCUUCUGAAGUUAAUUUGAUCAAUAAAGUAAUUCUUCGGAGAUGAUAUGCCCAUUCUAUAGUCAUUUUCUUAGGUAACAUGUUUUUUCUUCACUCUUCAGAGCAUGUCUAAACUAAUUGAUCGCUCAGCGGAGACUUUGGGUGAGAAGACAAAAUUUCUUGGUAAAUCCUCUAAAAAGGUAUGCAUAAUUCCCGAGUAUUAAAUAAUCAUUGGUCAUAAUUUUUGUACACAACUCUUUUUUUGGAGAUCGUUAAAAGUGGUUGAUGAUCUAUUUUGUAAUAUCAUAGAGGGAUCAUGAAUUCCUGUUCUUUUCUGUGGCUAGGCAACACUUUCGGGCCAAGCUAAGGAAAUCUAUUUUAGGUAAUGUGAAAACCAGUUGUAGGAUGUAAUAGUUUAUUAUGCCCUGACAAUAACUUUUUGUAUAAUUGUCAGUUUAAUGAAUACAAGAGGAACUCUGUUGGCAAAUUCAUCCAUGAUAGAUGCUAAAAGUAUUUAUGCAUACCAGUUGCCUUAACUAAUUUUUCUCAACACUGGUAUUGAACAGGAAAAUGAAUAUGCAAUUUGUAUAUUGUGCCAUUGUGGAGAAUUUGGAUAUUCUUAUUUAAGUAACAAGGAGAGUAUUUGCCUCAUCUUUAAACAAUGAAUCUUUGAGAAAUGAGGAGUGGGUGAUUGGCAGUGUCUUCAUGUAAAUGUUCAUUUAUUUGUAUUUUGAACUAUUAUGAGAAUCUUUGUAUGCCAAAUUAGUAAUACAAAUGUUCAGAUGAUUUUUCCUGUUGAUCAUGCGUGUGUAUCUGCACACAACCAUUGUGUCCCACUUUAUUCUGAUGCACAAAUAUCUGUAGUUUAGAAGAAAAGAAAUAAUAAUCAUAUAUUAUUGCUUGGUUCAUGAUUAUUAAACGAUUAUGGCUUUAGAAAAUCCACAAAUCCUUUGUGUUCAUAUAUGAAUGUGCGAAGUUUGCUAUCUCUUAGAUUACCUUCUUCCAAGAUAACAAGUUCAUAUAUUUUUUUUAAUCCUUUUUCAUCACAGUUGAAUUUCAAGUGUAAGUUUUGUUAUUAAUAGCUGGUUUCCUGUUAUUAUGAUUUCAUAAACAGUGAGAGGAUAUGUGCUCUACUUUUGGAGGGCCUCCACAUGAAAGAAAAUUGCAACAAUUGAAUUCUUCCGGAGGGUAUGGUAUUUAAUUUAUUUUCUCAGCUUGUUGUAAGACUAAUAUAUUUCCUUCAGUACCCAAAAGGACAGAAAUGAAUUACGGAAGGAAGUUUUUGCUGCUUUAUUUAGUGCUGCUGAGAAAUCUGAUGGAUUUCCUGAAAUUACGGUGAAGACGGAGUGGAGGUCCAACGCAUUAGGAAAGGUGGUGAGUGAACCGCCGGAGGAAUUAGUACCAGAAUACAAGGCUAAUGUGGUGCACUUGCAGCAAGAUGACCAGACCUGUAUGUGCUCUUAUAUUAACUAUAUUGGUUGGAUUUGUGAGUGUGUACAUUUUUGUGUGUAUACUCACAUUUGUAUUUAUGCAUAUUAACGUGUGUAGGAUUCUUGAUUUCUGCCACUUACUGGAGAACUAGUGGAAAGCUUUAUACUGAUAUAUGUGCUAUAACUAAUGGAAACUACAAUAUGAAUAUUUUCUCUCACCUGGAGAACUGUGUAACAGAUAUAAUUUGUGGCUCUGGAAUACUGAAGAUUCUGCAAUAACUAAUGGAAAAUAUGAUAUGAAUAUUUUUUCUCACCUGGAGAACUUUGUAACAGAUACAUUUUGUGGCUCUGGAAUGUCUAAAGAAUGCUUCAGUUUAGAUCAAAUAUCUUUUAGUUAGAAAAGAUAAAAUUCUCUGAAUCUGAAAGACUGAAACAUUUUGCAUAUUUUGUGAAAGGGAAGUAUCUGUAGAUACUAGCUCAUGCAUUGAGGUAAUAUCAAUGUUAAAGAAAAACAGCAAUAAUUUAUUAUACAGAAUUAGGUUCACUUGCUUUAAAUGCUGGUCUGAUCAACCAUAACAACCUGUAAUGGUCCUGCAGAAAUAUAUAUACGGGGAGAAACUAGCUAAAUUUUCCUUUCACUUAUGGGUUUGGUCUUUUUUUCCCCUAUUUUUCAGCUUUCCUUCUCCUGAAGUAUGUUAACAAUUGCAGAUAAUGACGAAGAGGACCGCUUCCAGGCUCUUUGUAGAGCUGUGAUGGAAUAUAGGGGCACAAUGAAAGAAUAUUGUAAGGUUGUAUGUACUUUCUCUCUUGUCAUUUAUGUUUUCUCACACAUUUUGUUUAUGCCCUGAACAUGCAGCUUUGUAUGUGUCAAUUGCCUUUUACGUUUUAAAAGCCAUAAAGUAAGAAUACAGUUCCUUGUCAGGCUAUUGAUGCGUUCGCUCAGAAGGGUCAUGUUCAAGCAGGAAAACUUCUAGAACAGGUAAGGUUUCCAUCUACAGCCAUCCAUUGACAGCAGAUAUAUUUUCAUUAAGCAGACACUGUUAGCAUUCAAGAUGCUGGCAGAUUCACUUGAUUCUUAUUAGUUUGUUUAGUGGCAAGGCAUAUAACCUGUAUUUCAAAGCCAAGUUGUGCUAUUGAUUAUGUUAACUUUAUUGUUAACAUAAAGUGAUAUGGAGGACAUAAUCAAUGUAGGAAAAUUAGGUGAAGAGAUGAUGUCAAAUCUUGAACCUCUUACAAAGCUCCAAGUUCUUUACUUGAAGAAGCUGCCAAAUUUGAAGAGCGUCUACUGGAAGGCAUUUCCAUUCCCAGAUGUAUGCAGAAUUUUUGUAUUAAUGCCCAGUUCUUAAGAACCUGCCACUGGAUUUUCAAGGGGUGGGCCAAGGUAAAAUUCUUAUCAAGGGAAAGGAAGAUUGGUGGAAAGAACUUCAAUGGGAGGAUCAAGCAACUCAGAAUGCAUUGCUUCCAUUUUUCAAAUCAACUGACAAGUGAUUGAAGGGGGCAUCAUCAACAUCAUCAACAGAGAUGGAGAGAUUCUGGAGCAGAUCAGCAGGGUUUGUAUAUGAUCUUUGGUGGUUGCUUUCUUUUGUGAUUUUUUUUUUCUUCCUGUCAUUUUAUCAUUUCUUUGUCUCUUUUUUUAUUGCUGAUGUUAGUGUAUGCUUACUGUUGCUUGACAAAGUUCGCUUGCUUCUUGUUUAUUAAAUUUUUUAUCGUCACAAAAUAUUACUUGUUCUAUUUGAGAGUGAUGUGAAUCAAUUUUCAAUUAUAUAUUUUGUGGUCAAUGUGAAUUCAAUUUCAUUUGUCUCCUGCAAUUAUGAGAAAACUGCAGAGUCAUAAUAUGGAAAAGUACACCAGCAAAAACUUUGUAAAAGCUUCGGAGUGAAACAGGGAAUUCACUUACUACUAAGAACAAUUGAUGGCGAGUUAUUCCAUUCAUUUUAUGUCCAUCUAUCUAUUUAAUUAUUAAAGAUAAAUGGUCCAUUUAUAAAUUUCAGAUUGUCUCUCUCUGAAAAUAACAAUAUUUAAAAUAUCUCUUAAAUUAUUAUAAAUUUUAAUACACUCUCGAUUUAAAAUGGAACAUGCUGAUGAAAUUGUUUUCUUCUUAAUAAAAUUGAAAUAAAUUGUGUUUGCAGUAGUUUGAAAUAUUUUAAAGAUUAUUAUUUUAUAAGGGAGUAAUAUGAAAUGAAAUUUACUUUUCAUGCGUGAAAUGUUGAAAAAGGACAAAGCAAGUGUCCCUGCUUUUAUUUUUAUUUUAAAGUGGAGUCAUCUCACAUACUUUAGCUCUAUCAUUACAAUUUUUCAGGUUACAUUUUUAUUAUUUAUUUAUUUUCUUUUUUACACAUGCAUGUGGGUUACUUUUCCGUAAGCUCCUCAAUAUAUAUUGAACCCAGCGAAGAAUGUUAUGGAAGAGCAAAUUAAUGAUAUUUCUGAUAGAGUCUAUUUGAUUAUGUAGCCUGAAUGGAUGUCUUGUUGAAAGAUAUCUCAGUGCAUUAGUUCAUCCUUGUCUGUCAAUGUGUUUUUAAUGGUUUUUCCAAUUGUUUAUUAUUAUAGAUUGAUUGUAAAUUGAUAUGAAAAUUUGAUAUGAAUUUAAUGUUGAAAUGUUUUCUCUUUAGUGGAAUGAAUUUAAAAGUGCAAAAGAUUAUUGCACACAGAGAAAUAAACAUAUAUGCUUUAUAACUUUAGCAAUCGAUUCUUUUACAGCUGGAAACAGAGAUGAUGAUUAUCAUAAGGAUGAAGAAAAGUAGUGCGUUAGACGAUUAGACUCUCUUAUUAAAGGCAAGUAUAAAGUAGUGAAGAAUCCAAUAUCUCUAUUGUCUAGUCUUUUGUUUAAUUCUUCUUUUAUUAUUUUUCAGAAUAAUUUUUGGUGAUUACAAUCGGGUUAUUAUUCAGAGUUAUUGUUAUCUUCUGGGGCAGUUUCUGUUCAUCGAAUUCAUUAAUUAAAAUUUUAGAACUCUUAUCAGAAGAAUAUUUUUCGGUUAUCUUUUUUAUGUUCUAAUUCCAAUUGUAAGAAGUAGCCAUUUUAGAAUUUGGGUCUUGAAUCGAAUUUCAAUGCAUGAAUUAAUAUUAAAAAAAAAAAAUUCACUACUCGCAGUUUAGGUUACAAAUUACUUUUUGGAAAGUUGACUUUGGAAUGUUUGCAAAGAAAGAGACUAACAUAUUUCCAAUUACACUAAAUCUCUAUUAUGAUAAUGUUAAGACUAAAUUAAUUUAAAUAAUUUUUAUUUGAAAAUUAUAUCAAACGCAGUCUAAUUUUAUUAAUUUUAAGAAAUAAUAAUUAUAAAAAUUAUUGUUCUGACUUAAUUAAUACAAGUGAUAUAAAAGUUAAGUGUGCACUAAAUCUGUUUUAAUUUUUUCCAGUAUAACUAACAGAGGUCAUUACUAGAAUUAUAUUACUAGUCUAUUAGAUAGAAAAAAUUACUUAUAUUGUUUUAUAUUUAUUAAAAAAUUUAAAGCCAAUUUUUUUAAUUACUAUUUAAAGAAUAUUAUAAUUUGAAAAAUUUUAAUAUCUUUAUUAAAAAUUUAGAAAUUUACAGUCCUCUAAAUAUUUAAGGCGUAACUGUCAUUUUCUCAAGAAGCUUUAUUUAAUAUUAUUGAUUUAAAUAAUAUCUUAUUAAAAAUGUACUGAGGAGAAAUUUUGGUGGGUAUUUUAGUCUUUUCAGCAAUCAUCAUGAUUAACCUUUGGUUGGCCUUGAAACGUCGGUCAGAAAAGUUUUAAAAUGCUUAAUUGUUUUUCACUGUUAACGUUAGUGGCCUUGAAAUUGCUUAUAUUUUAUUAAAAAUUAAUGCUAACAAGAAAAAACUAGAUCGUAUUCCACCCCCAAAGCAAAAGUGAUAAAACAACCGGCUGUAUUCUUUUAUUAAACUACAAAUUAAAAUGGAUUUCUUUAAUUAAAGUGGAUAUCAUUUAAUUAAUGUUUGAACAUUAAAGUUCUGAUAUAUAACCACUAUGCCGACCACCUAAUUGCUGCUAUUUAAUUUCGUUCCAGUUCUCUCUCUCUCUCUUUUUCUUUUUUUUUUGGGCCAAGCAAUAAAUAGUAAAAAUUCAAUAAAAGCAAUAUUAAUGCUGCAAGUGAGUCAUGUUAUUUAUUGUCAAUUAGGAAAUGUGAACCUAAUUUGAUUGCAUCCCUUUAAUCAUUUAAUAAUUAUGUAAGCACCAUCCCUUUAAUUAUUUAAUAACUAGAAAAUAGAACACUGCGUUUCACGCGGCUUUGAAAAAAGAAUUUAGUAUUAUCUUUUUUUCUUACUUUACACUUGAUGAAACUGAUAAAAAAUAUGAAUUGAUUUUUUUUAAAGAUGAGGCAGCCUUAUAAAAAAUAAAAAAAGCUAUUAGCCAGCAAUACAAAUAAAGAAGGAAUGCAAGAUAAAGAAUAAAAUGAGAGAAUAUAUUAUAGAGUGAUCUUAUUCAUUCUAAUUGUGUGUGUACAAAACAAAAAGAUGAGCUCUCCUUUUAUAACUACAUAAUUACUUCAUGAAAUUAAUGAAAAAUUAUGAAUCAUAAUUUCUUGUGAGAUAGUGGGAGUUAUUGGGAAGCUAAAAGUUGCUAAUGGGAGAUAGUGGGGAGACUAAGAGAUAUAUAUUAUGAACAUCUACAUUUAUUUUAAUAAAUUCAUAACACUCCCCCUUAAAUGUUCAUUACAAAGAAUAUGCCUCAUUAAAAUCUUUACAUAAUUGUUAUUGUGUAAUAACAAUCAAAUUAAUUAUAAGAAGAUGAAAAGCCAAAUCUAACAGAAAAUUUCUCUAUUUAUUAGAUAAUAGAGAAUAUAGCAAGAUGAGAAAUGGUAAUGCCACAUCAUCUCCUCACGUCCCAACUUUAUAUAUAUAUAUAUAGAUAAUAUAUAUUAUUCCUGUCCUACAUUCACAUAUUUAAUUGUCCUUUUGAAAAUAUUCAUGAGUUAGGCCAAGUAAAGUCAAAGAAAUUGGGAAAAAGGAACAAAAGGACAAACCUAAAUUAAUUGAACCUAAUUCAUGAAAAUGCACACUUUUGUGUUGCGGACGGCGGACCCUAAAGCUUCGUUGUUUGCAGCUGCAAUUAAUUCUUUUCCUUCAAAAGUUAGAGGCUCGUGUUUACAGUGGGUCCCGAAUCGGACGUACCUAAUAAAUCUUUUAAAAAAAUUUGCCGUAUAAAGGACAGAGGUCAUUACUGAAAUUUCUCUUCCACGGGCAAUUACAGCAGCUUCAGUUAAUCAAACUCAAAUCAAUUUUCUUUCUUAACAAAAUAUUCCAAAGAUGUGUAGCAUUUUUCAGAUCACAUGCGAUGGUGCUUUUUUCAAUCGUUGCUUGGAUUGCUUUCUUGGAAAAGCAGCAUACAUACGUAACCUCCAAGAUAAUCUUGUAGCCUUGGACACUGAAUUGGGAAAUCUGAUCGCUAAAAAGAACGAUGUGAUGAGGAGGGUUGUCGAUGCUGAACGGCAACAAAUGAGAAGGCUGGACGGAGUGCAAGUGUGGGUUUCGAGGCUCGAUGCUGUUAAAACUGAAGCCGAUGAACUUAUCACAGACGGCUCUCGAGAAAUUGAAAAAUUAUGUGUUGGAGGCUACUGUUCCAAGAACUGCAGGUCAAGCUACAAAUUCGGAAAACAAGUGGCAAGAAAGCUACGAGAUGUGGAGACUUUAAUCGCCGAGGGAGUUUUUGAGUCGGUGGCUGAGAGAGCUCCGGAACCUGUGGCAGAUAAAAGACCCACUGAGCCAACAAUAGUAGGCUUGCAAUCACAGCUUGAACAAGUUUGGAGAUGUCUUCUUGUAGAAGAAUCAGCGGGAAUCAUUGGCCUAUAUGGUAUGGGCGGUGUUGGUAAAACCACACUGUUGACCCAUAUCAACAAUAAAUUUCUUGAGAGUCCCACCAACUUUGAUUGUGUGAUUUGGGUCGUAGUUUCAAAAGACCUGCGACUUGAAAAAAUUCAAGAAGAUAUUGGGAAGAAGAUAGGUCUGUUUGAUGGUUCGUGGAAGAAUAAAAGUGUUGAGGAGAAAGCCGUAGACAUCUUGCGGAGAUUAGGAGAGAAGAGGUUUGUAUUGUUGUUAGAUGAUUUAUGGGAGCGGGUUGAUUUAACAGAAGUGGGCGUUCCACUUCCCAGCCCACAAAAAUACUACAUCAAAGUCGUAUUCACGACCCGUUUCAUUGAUGUGUGUGGUAGCAUGGAAAGUCACAGGAAGUUUAAAGUGGCAUGCUUAUCAGAAGAGGAUGCUUGGGAGCUGUUUCGAGGAAAAGUAAGGCAAGAAACUCUUGAGAGUCAUCAUGAUAUCGUUGAGCUAGCCCAAACUGUGGCCAGAGAGUGUGGCGGUUUGCCACUCGCGCUUAAAACUAUAGGUCGAUCUAUGGCCUACAGAAAGACAGCUAAGGAGUGGAGACAUGCAAUUGAAAUGUUAAGGAGAUCAGCUUCAGAGUUUGCAGGUUUGGGAGAAAAGGUGUAUCGUCUUUUAAAGUUUAGCUAUGAUAGUUUGCAGAAUGAUACGAUUAGAUCUUGUUUCUUAUAUUGUUGUUUGUAUCCUGAAGAUUAUGGCAUUCUUAAAUGGGAUUUGAUUGAUUGUUGGAUUGGUGAGGGAUUCUUAGAGGAAUCUGACAGGUUUAGUGCAGAAAACCAAGGAUACUACAUUGUGGGCACUCUUGUUCAUGCAUGUUUAUUAGAAGAGGUGGAAGAUGAUAAAGUAAAAAUGCAUGACGUUGUUCGUGAUAUGGCUAUAUGGAUAACCGGUGAAAUUGAGAAGGAGAAGCGAAACUUUUUGGUUUGUGCAGGUGCUGGAUUAAAAGAGGCACCGGAUGUUGAAGUAUGGGAAAAUGUGAGAAGAUUGUCAUUGAUGCAAAACCAAAUUGAAACUCUGUCAGAGGUUCCCACAUGCCCUCAUCUUCUCACUUUAUUUCUUGACUUUAAUAGGGAGUUGAAGACUAUUGCGGAUGGCUUCUUCCGAUGUAUGCCUUCUCUCAAAGUUUUGAAGAUGUCAAACUCUGGAAAGCCUUGGAAAGGUUUGGAAUUAAAUUUGGGGAUGCCAAAGUUGGGUUCACUACAGCUUCUUGAUAUUUCACACACCUGCAUACAAGAUUUACCGCAAGAAUUAAAGUUGUUGGUAAAUCUGAAAUGUUUGAAUUUGAGGCGGACAAUUUGGUUAAAUAAAAUUUCAUGGCAACUAAUAUCAAAUUUUUCAAGGUUACGUGUGUUGAGAAUGUUCGCUACUGGCUGGUUCAAUUUUCAUGAAGCACCAGAAGACAGCGUUUUAUUUGGUGGGGGUGAAGUUUUGAUACAGGAAUUGCUCGGUUUGAAAUAUUUAGAGGUAUUGGAGUUGACCUUGGGAAGUUAUCAUGCUCUCCAAAUUCUUUUCAGCUCAAAUAAGCUAAAAAGUUGUAUUCGAUCUCUUUACCUCCAGUUGACCGGAGAUACAGCGUUAAUUAUUGAUGCUACGGCUUUCGCAGAUCUAAAACACCUCAAUGAAUUACGCAUUGAGUCGGCUACAAAGCUGAAAGAAUUGACGGCUGAUUAUACAGAGAUAGUUCGAAAAAGGCGGGAACCUUUUGUUUUCCGCAGCCUUCACCAUGUUACUAUACAAAGCUGCCAGAAGUUGAAAGAUUCGACAUUCCUCGUUUUUGCUCCAAACCUCAAGUCUCUUUCGAUAGUCAAAUGCAAUGCUAUGGAAGAAAUAAUCAGCGUCGGAAAAUUUGCUGAGACUCCUGAGAUGAUGGGACAUAUAAGUCCUUUUGAAAAUCUCCAAAUGAUUGAUUUACUAGGUUUGCCACAUUUGAAGAGCAUCUUCUGGAAGCCAUUGCCUUUCACUCAUCUGAAAGAAAUAUCUGUGCGUUAUUGCCCUAAUCUUAAAAAGCUUCCACUCGAUUCCAACAGUGCAAAGGAGCGUAAAUUUGUUAUUCGUGGAGAAGAAGACUGGUGGAACCCACUUCAAUGGGAGGAUGAAGCCACUCAAAUUGCUUUUCGUUCCUGUUUCCAACCCUUGUUCCUGAACAGUGGUCGCAAAAUUUGAUUUCUGGUGAGUGCGUUUGUCUUUUAAAAAGAAUAAUUUAAAAGAAAUUUAUUCUUGUCGGUUUCUUCACUGUUUUUAUUUCAGUUUCUCUCUCUCUCUCUCUCUCUCUCUCUUUUUGUCUUCUGCAAAUCACAAUUACAUUUUUAUUCUUGUCGUUUUCUUCACUGUUUUUAUUUCAGUUUCUCUCUCUCUCUCUCUCUCUCUUUUUGUCUUCUGCAAAUCACAAUCAAAUGUUGAAUUAAUGGAAUUAAUGCUUCAUAAAUUUGCCGGCACUGCCAUUACUUUUUUUUGGGGGAUCGAAUUGAUACUUUAUUUAUAUCUUCUUAGCGAUUUAAUUUCCUGUCAAAAGACGAACGAGAAGAACAUAUGACUUAAACCAAUGCUCGCAUAAACUUGCUGUAAAAAGAUAUAAUCUCACUGAAAUGCACACGCCUAGAAUGAAUAGAAUUAAAACAGGGAAAAUAUUAAGUAUAUUAGCCCUCUUUACUGAAAAUCAAAUGACAGUAAAUUUUUUGAAGUUUUGAUUUUCUAUGGUCAAUUCCACCUUUUGCAAUUUCUUCUGUUCUAACAAAAACCAAUUUCUUUGUUCAAGUAUUUUCGUUUGGAUAUUAAUAAUUCUCCACCGAAAGAGUGAACUCUUGCUCAAAGGGAUCUCUAAUAAUACAUAACAUGAUUAUUUUCGUUUGAAUAAUUGAUUUCUUGAUUGAAUUGUCGUGUAAUUGAUUUAUGGGGGAUGACACAUCAACAUACUUGAAAAUACACUAAUCUCAGCAUCAUCGGUUAAUAACUUUUAGAUUUAUGGGUAAUCAAUAGUUAAGAUUAGUUGUCAUUAAUACUAAAUAAUUUUUACUUUUUUUGUCUCUUCUAGAGGAUCUUCUAGAAAAAUGCAUCCACAAUUAAAUUUAAUACUUUACAUAAUAAACAAAGCCUAAAUGUUAAAUUUAAGAAACUGCAUUGUAUUUCAGUUGAAGUUGACUUUAAUAUUUAGGGUAGAAAAACAAUUAAUUUUAUUUUUUGAAAUGUCCAUAUUCAGAGCACAUUUCAAAAAGACUCAAUAAUUUCUCAUAAAUUUCAAUUAAAAAUAUUCAAUUUGUUGUUUCAGUUCUUUUAUUUUUUAUUUUUUCCGACAUGAAAGCGACUUAAUGUUACUAAAUUGGGUGGUCUUUGGAUUUUCAUGACCCAAUAAUUGGAACAAAACAAUUUUCUCAAGCGCUCUCCCGCAACAUUUUAUAAUUGAAGCCGCUGCCCCGCCCGUGGUUUCAAACUUUUUUCUUUCUCCUUGUUUAAAUUAAUGGGAGCAGCCUCCGUCCUUGACUAGUUGACUGCUUGUCUUCUUUUUUUUAUUAAUUAAUUAAUUCAGCCGCCCCCCUUUCUUGUCCCAAUAUCUUCUACUUUCGGUUUCCUUUUAUUAUCUCUUUAUUUUUAAAAAAUGCUUAUAAUAAUAAUAAAAUAUAAAAUAUAAAAAUAAAAAUAUAAUUUAUCAGAAAAUUAAGAUAAAGAAAUAUUAUAAGCACAUCAAUCAACAAGUGAAAAAAAAACAAUUUUAAUUUACAUUAAAUAUAAACUUUCAGUGUUAAUCAACUUUUCUAAAUAACUAAAUUAAAAAAUUAAUUGAUUUAAUUGUGGUGUAAUUGAUUUGUAGGGGAUGAAUCAGCAGCAUCAUCGGUUAACGCUUUCAGAUUUAUAGUUAAUCAAUAGUUGAGAGUUGUUAUCACUAACGCCGUGUAUUUUUUAAUGUUUUUUCUCUCUCCUACAGCAUCUUCUAGGAAAGUGCAUCCGUUGCUAAAAUUUAGUAUCGUAAAUAAUAAACCAAGAAUAAAUAUUAAAUCUAAGAAACUGUAUUGCAUUUAAUAUUUAAGGGAGAAAAAUAAUUAUAGUGUCUUUAUUAAUCAGUAAAAAAAAAAAUUAGAAUCAUAAUAAAUUGUAUUGUUAUUGAUGUAUUUAUUUUAUUUUAUACUCAAAAUAAAUUAUUUUAAAUUAUUAAAAUAAUUUAAAAUUAGUAUUUUAUUUUAUACUCAAAAUAAAUAAUUUAAAAUUUUCAUUUCUUGUUUAUUUCGCAAGUUGUUAUUGCCUAAUGCUAUGUCAACUCGAACAUUAGCAUUUUUUUUUUUGGUCCUCUUUUAACGCAAAAUUAGUGUAGGUUAAGUAACAUAAUCAAUAUUAGGACAAUUUGAAAUCCCUAUGGGUGCGUUUGGUACACUGUAUUGUAUUAUACUGUAUUGCAUUAUUUUAAUGCUGAUGUAUUGUAUUAUGUUGUAUUGCAUUAGCACUGUAUUAUAACAAUGCUAUACAAUAUUUGGUGUUACAUUGUACUGUAUUAGAUUUUAAUUAUAUUAUAUUUAGUGUUACAAUUGUUGUAACAUAAACACGACCAAAAUAAAUUGUACUAAAUAAUCUAAGUAAGAGUUCUGUAGUAUAUGUAAUAAUACUAUUUAUAUUAUUAUUAUUAAUAAUUCUAAAUUAAUAUUAUUUAAUUUUAUUCAUAUUUAAAUAUGUAUUAUUAGUUUAUUAAAUUAUUUAAAAUAAUUAAUUUAUAUAUAUUAAUUAUUGUAACUUAAUUAAAUAAUGUAAUGCUAUAUUAUAUUUUUAUAUACUAUUUAAGUAUUUAUUAUUAAUUAUAUUUAAUUAUAAAUUUAUUAAUAAAUUAUAAUAUAAAAAUAAAAAAUAAAAAUUAAUAUUGUAUAAUAUUAUAUUAAAUUAAAGUUUUAUUUUUAUUACUAUUAUUAUAAAGUAAAAAAAAAAAAAAGGGAAGCUACUGACUUUUGAAACACAAAAGUCAGUAAUACAACCUAAUCACGAGGGGGGGCGCGGGUUUUGAUAAUGCGGCAAAAGCUGCAUUGUAAUGCUGCUCAAUGCAAUCCAUUUGAUCACCAAACACAGGUAUAUUUUAACUAAUGCUGGGCCCACAAAAUAAUACAAUGCAAUUCCGCAUGCCAAACAUACCCUAUGGGUGCGUUUGGUACACUGUAUUGUAUUAUACUGUAUUGUAUUAUUUUAAUGCUGGUGUAUUGUAUUAUGCUGUAUUGCGUUAGCAUUGUAUUAUAAUAAUGUUGUACAAUGUUUGGUGUUACACUGUACUGUAUUAAUUUUUAAUUAAACUAUAUUUGGUGUUAUAUUGUAUUGUAUUAAUUUUUAUAAUUAAUUAAAUUAAAUAAUUAAAAAAUAAUAUUUAUUAAUACUUAGAAAAAUAAUAAAUAUAGAAAUCUUAAUUGUAGAAAUUUAACAAAUUUUUUAGUAAAUAUUAAAAAUUAAUGAUUAAAUUUCUAAAAUUUGUAUUAUAAUUAUGAUAAAAUAAAUUUAUAAAAUUUAAUAUUAUAUGUAAAUAAUAAAUUUAGAUUAUAAUUAAUAUUAUAAUUGUUAAUAUAAAUUAAUAAAUUAUUAUUCAAUAAUAUUCAAUUAUAUUUUAAUUUACAAUAUAUUAUUAUUUUUACAUUUUAAUAUAUUAAUAAAUUUAUAAUUUAACAUAAAUAAUUAUAAAUUUAAAUAAUAUUAAUUUUAAAAUUAAUAUUAAUGUAAAUAAUAUUAUAAUAUUAAUAUAUUAUUUUUAUAUGAAUCAUUAAUAAAUAAAAUAAUAUUAUCAUAUAAUUUAUUUUUAUAUUUUAUUCAUUAUAUUAAUAUUUAAUAAUAAAAUAAUUUAUUUUUAUAAUAUUUUAAUAAAAUAAAUUUGCCUCAAUUGAGGCAUUAACUGUUGCCUCAAUUGAGGCAAAAAGCUUCCGCAUCCCUCGGGUUUGCGUAAUGCGGCCCCAUGCCUCAUUAUGCUGCAUUAUAAUGCAGCAUAAUGAGGUGUCAAAUUUUGCCAAACAUGUUCUUGGUAAUAAACUAAUGUGAAUAGUAGUAUAAUACCACAUAAUCUCAUGCACCAAACACGCCCUAUGUGUAUUAUUCACGGUAUCUAUGAGGGCUUAUCCUUUUGCUAGAACAAACUCUAGCAAAUUGUCAAAUGUGCUUAUCCUUUCCCUUGACGACUCAUUUUAAAAUUGUCACUCAUUUUAAAAUUGUCUUUCAAUGCACAAACACAGACAUAACCGCCGACAUCGAGCACCAAGUUUGGAAUUUAAUUGAUAAGCAUACAUUUGAUAAAUUAAUGAAAAGUUUGGAGAGUAGUUUUGAUCACCCUUGAUUAGGACGGUAUUACAAAAAAGAUCAAAAAGAAAACAUCGUCUCUCUUCACAAAAAUAAAUAUUUUCCGUUAGAAUUUAAUACAAUAAUAUUUUUUUUGAUUAAAAUUUAAUUAAAUACACAAAUAAAUUAUAUAUUUUUUAAAAAAAUUUACACCCAGUCACAAGGCUGGCUAUUAAACUUAAAGGGUGGAAGCUUCGGAGACUAAAGUUGGUAACUUCUCCAAGUGGUCUUAAGUUGACCGGAACUACCCAGACUUUAUGUUUGGUAGCCUAGACCUGAUCGGACCUAGGCCCAAGUUUGGUCUUAAAGUCCACAAUUAAAUUAAAAAAAAAUUAUUUGAUUUGUAAUUGAUUUAUGGGGAAUGAAUCCGCAGCCCUAAAAUUACACCAAUCUUGACAUAAUGACAUCAUCGGUUAAAAACGUUCAGAUUUAUGGUUAAUCAAUGGUUUGAGAUUUGUUAUCAUUAAUGCUAGAUAUUUUUUAACAUUUUUUUCUAUCUCUCUUCUCCUGAAGGAUUUUCUAGGAAAAUGCAUCCACAACAAAAAUUUUAAAUUGUAAACAAUAAACAGAGUAUAAACGUUAAAUCUAAGGAACAUCGCUGCAUUUCAGCUGAAGCGAACUUUAAUAUUUUACGGAGAAAAAUAAUUAAGUCUUUAAUGUGAUUUAUUGAUUAAUAUAUAUGACUAAUUUUUUAAAAGAAGAUGAAGGAUGAAGCUUAAAAAUAUAAAUUAUAGAAUUAAUUUAUCUCUUCAAUAAAUCUAAAGUUUAUUUUUUUUAUUACAUGCUUCUAUUUUAUUUUUAUUCCAUGUUAAUGAAUGGAGAUUUAAAUCCAUUUUGGAUUUAUAAAGAUGUUUAGAUAUUUAAAUCCACGUGUGAUUCCAAACUUGAACCUUUUUUUUUUUUUUUUCUAAUUAAUGCAAACAGCCGCCUCUUUGACUGCUUUUCUUCUUUGUUUAUUAAUUAAUUAAUUCAGCUGCCCACCUUUCUUUUCCUAAUGUUUUCUACUCCCAAAUUUUUUUAAGGACAAGGCUACGUUGCAGACGCUGUACCUAACAGCUGCACCUUCGCCAGCUUAAAAAAGGGUGCAUUUGGUAAGCAACUUUUCUUUCGUGUGCAUAUGUGUCCUGCCACCAUUGGGUGUGUACGUAACAGAUAAUGUACCGUAACAAGCUCCUAUUUUUAAAUUUGUUUAUAAUGAUAAAAUAUAAAAAUUAAGAUUAAAAUGUAAUGUAAUGUAAAAUUAAAGGUGGAAGAGUAUUAAAAUAAGGCUAAACCUAUGUUACGUUUAACGUAACAUACAUUUAAAUAUAUAAAAUAUCAAUGGAAACCCUCAAAUUUUAUGGAAACUAUAUUAAUAAAAUUAAAAGAAAUAUUUUUAAAUCUGAAAGAAGAAAUAAAAGAUAUAAAGCAAGAGAUAGGAAAACUAAAAAUAGAAAUAUCUGUAAAAGAAAAAGGAAAAGAAAAAUUAGAAAUAAAAGAAACAACUCCAACUGAAUCGAAUUCAGACUAAUGGAAGAUGUAUUAGAAACUUUAACUGAAAAAUUCAGUGACAUAAAUCUUAGUGAUUUAGAAGACUUUGAAAAAGAAUAUUAGAUAAAAAUGAAUACUGCUGGAGGACCAGAAAUGAAACCUAAUGUAGCAUAACCAAGUCAUAGAUAUGGUAUAAAUAAAAUGAAAAAUAAACCUUUUUACGAGUAUAUACCUCCUAUUAAAAAUACUCCUUGGAAAAAAGAAUACAAACCAAAUCAAGAUACAUUAACCCCAAUAAAUAAUGCUGGAACAUUUUUAAAUCUAGAUUGUAAGAUAGACAUUCGAAAGGCGUUAGCAGAAUGGGUGUUACAAAUGAAAUUAUUUUUUAUAUUUAACGGGUCAAAGGAUGACUAGAAUGUAGAGACUGAAGAAGAAAAAAUAGAUAUAUUUGUUGAAAUCUUAAUAGCCAGUUUUUCAGGAAAUGUGUUUAAUUGGUGGAGAGGAUUAAGCGAUGAUACACAAAACUUAAUAAAAGAUUCAACCAAAUAGCAUUUAGAAAAAAUAAAGCCUUAGGAAUGGAAAGGAUAACUGAAUACAUAGCUAGUGAAUUUUUAGGAGAAGAUUGGCUAGAAAAAUCGGGCAUAUAUGAAAAUUUAAAAAUUUAUGAUAAAAAGAUCUUAGUGUUUUUAUUAAAAAAUUAAAAUUUACAUGACUAUUUCUUUAAAUAUUUAGGGCAUAUAUGAACCACGGAGGAGAAAAGCUUUAUUUAAUAUUUUAGAAUAGUUUUUGAUCAGUACAAUUGGGUCCUUAUUCAGAAUUAUUGUUCUCUUCCGCAACAGUUUUUGUUUAUCAAAGUCGUCAAUUAAAAUUUUAGAAUUCUUAUCAGAAGAAGUAGUCGUUUUAGAAGUUGGGUCUUGGAUCAAAUUUCUACGAGUGCAUGAAUUAACAAUAAAAAAAUUUCAUUACACACGGUUUAAGCUACAAACUACUAUUUGCACAGUUGACUAUAAAACUUACCUCCAAUUACACUAAACCUCUCUAUUUGGUAACGUUGAGACUAAAUUAAUUUUAUUAGCAUGAAAAGAUGAUAGAAAUAUAAUUAUAAAUAUUAUUGUUGUUAAUCAAUUAGUACAUGUGAUAUAAAGGUUAAAUGUGCACUAUAUUUAAUAAUUAAUUAGUGGAGCAUGUUAAACAAAAUGUUAAUGUAUAUUUAUAUAGUGUUAGGAAUAUGCAAAGUCAAGUCCUCAAUUUGCAUUAUCCUGUAUAGAAUAUUACUCUAAAAAUGUUUUACUAUAAUUGGCUUAGAACAUUUGUAAAGAAAAAUAAUAAUAAAAUAAUAAAUAACAUACACCGUCACAUAGCACCUAGACAAUGAUAGAAAAUUAUUAAAGAGAGUGCAAACAAUUAAUUAGAGAUUUUUAUGAUGACUUUUAAUAUUCAUGAUAAUAACAAAUAAAUACAUGUAUCACUUUUUUAAAAUAUUAAAUUUGACUGCUCCAUUAAUAAAUUAUUAUUGUAAUUCAGACUCUAUCUAUAUAUCCUUGCACUAAGAAUAAUUAAGGUAACGUUUGUUUUUUAACUUAAUGACUUAAAGUGACUUAACUUAAUUAAUUAAGUUAAUUAGAGGUGUUUGUUUUAUAACUUAAUGAGACUUUUUAGAUAAUUUUGACUUAAUAAAAUAAGCUAAUUUUUUUUGGCUUUUUACUUAAUGGAGAAAUCUGAAUUAAGUCAAUUACUUGCUAAUGUCAAAAAUAUCCUUGUUUUAUAAUUUAUUUUUCAUGUCUAUCCCAAAACUCGCCCGUAGAUAUUUACCCCACAUAAAAAUAUCCCUGUUUUUUUCUUUCUUAUAUUAUAUACGAUAAAAUUUGAAAUUUAUAGUAUUUUAUAUAUUAAAAUUCUAAAAUAAUUAUGUAUUCACUUGAAUAUAGUUUUACUUAUAAAUGUUAAAAUAUGAUGGUAUUUAAUAUAUUAUUUAUUUGACAUUCAAAUUUAAUAAGGAUACAAAUGUAAAAGUACAUAUUUUCAGCUUUUUAAAUUGAAAAAAAAUAACUUAAUAUUUAUUUUCUGAGAUUCAGACGAAAAAAUAAACAUAUUAUUCAGAUUCAUACAUUCAGAUCUAUUCAGAAUUCAAACUAAUUCAAGUCUAUUCAAAUUUUAGACAAAAAAAUAAACGCCACCUAAGUCAUAAUAAAAAUUUUCGUAACUACAUCUCGUUUCUUCCUCAUAAUAAUAAUUAGAUUGGUUCGAAUAUUAUAACUAUAUAGAUUUAGUGUAUAGCCACAUCCAAUUUAAAUAUUGACCCAAUUGGGAUGGUCCCCAAAAAAAAAGAUUCGUUAAAGGAUAAUUCUAAUUAUUUUUACUUCUCAAACGUUAGUGGGACGUUUCUAUUAGCGCACUCGUAAGCCAAGUUGUCAAAUAUUUAUACUAAACUACAAUUGCUAACAAGAAAAAUCAAGAUCGUGUUAAGCAAGUGGGUCCCGAAUAGGACGUGCAAAUCUCUCGUAAGUCAAGUUGUCAAAUGUUUAUAUAAAACUAACAAUUACUGACAAGAAAAAUCAAGAUCGUAUUAAAAAUGGGUCCCGAAUAGGAUUAUCUUUUUAAGAAUAUUAUUAUUUUAUUAUUAAAAUUUUAUUAAUAUAACAGUAUUAAAAUUUAUUAAAAAAUAUAUUUUAUUAUUAAAAUUUUAUACCGUUAUCAAUUUAUUAUUAUUUUAUUAAAAAAAUUAAUAUUUAACAAAAAUUGAGAUAAAAAUUAAUUUUUGUUCUCUGUCUUUAUUUAUUUAUUUAUUUUUUUGGGUCUUCUGCAAAUCACAAUCAAAUGUUGAAUUAUAAAUUUGCCGGCAUUGCUUUUUUUUUUUUUUUUGGGCCGGGGGGUGGUGUUGAAUUGAUGCUCUGGGUUUUUGACUUUUGUUGUCAAAUUUUACUCUGUUUUUCCCAAAUUGAUGCUANNNNNNNNNNNNNNNNNNNNNNNNNNNNNNNNNNNNNNNNNNNNNNNNNNNNNNNNNNNNNNNNNNNNNNNNNNNNNNNNNNNNNNNNNNNNNNNNNNNNNNNNNNNNNNNNNNNNNNNNNNNNNNNNNNNNNNNNNNNNNNNNNNNNNNNNNNNNNNNNNNNNNNNNNNNNNNNNNNNNNNNNNNNNNNNNNNNNNNNNNNNNNNNNNNNNNNNNNNNNNNNNNNNNNNNNNNNNNNNNNNNNNNNNNNNNNNNNNNNNNNNNNNNNNNNNNNNNNNNNNNNNNNNNNNNNNNNNNNNNNNNNNNNNNNNNNNNNNNNNNNNNNNNNNNNNNNNNNNNNNNNNNNNNNNNNNNNNNNNNNNNNNNNNNNNNNNNNNNNNNNNNNNNNNNNNNNNNNNNNNNNNNNNNNNNNNNNNNNNNNNNNNNNNNNNNNNNNNNNNNNNNNNNNNNNNNNNNNNNNNNNNNNNNNNNNNNNNNNNNNNNNNNNNNNNNNNNNNNNNNNNNNNNNNNNNNNNNNNNNNNNNNNNNNNNNNNNNNNNNNNNNNNNNNNNNNNNNNNNNNNNNNNNNNNNNNNNNNNNNNNNNNNNNNNNNNNNNNNNNNNNNNNNNNNNNNNNNNNNNNNNNNNNNNNNNNNNNNNNNNNNNNNNNNNNNNNNNNNNNNNNNNNNNNNNNNNNNNNNNNNNNNNNNNNNNNNNNNNNNNNNNNNNNNNNNNNNNNNNNNNNNNNNNNNNNNNNNNNNNNNNNNNNNNNNNNNNNNNNNNNNNNNNNNNNNNNNNNNNNNNNNNNNNNNNNNNNNNNNNNNNNNNNNNNNNNNNNNNNNNNNNNNNNNNNNNNNNNNNNNNNNNNNNNNNNNNNNNNNNNNNNNNNNNNNNNNNNNNNNNNNNNNNNNNNNNNNNNNNNNNNNNNNNNNNNNNNNNNNNNNNNNNNNNNNNNNNNNNNNNNNNNNNNNNNNNNNNNNNNNNNNNNNNNNNNNNNNNNNNNNNNNNNNNNNNNNNNNNNNNNNNNNNNNNNNNNNNNNNNNNNNNNNNNNNNNNNNNNNNNNNNNNNNNNNNNNNNNNNNNNNNNNNNNNNNNNNNNNNNNNNNNNNNNNNNNNNNNNNNNNNNNNNNNNNNNNNNNNNNNNNNNNNNNNNNNNNNNNNNNNNNNNNNNNNNNNNNNNNNNNNNNNNNNNNNNNNNNNNNNNNNNNNNNNNNNNNNNNNNNNNNNNNNNNNNNNNNNNNNNNNNNNNNNNNNNNNNNNNNNNNNNNNNNNNNNNNNNNNNNNNNNNNNNNNNNNNNNNNNNNNNNNNNNNGAAGGGUCUCUAAUCAAUAGCUGGAAGCAAUUGAGAAGGCGGUUGCUACAGUGAAUUCAAAUGUAAAAUGUUUGCUAUUCUUCGAUUUGGUUAAUGAUUUCGUAUGAAUAUUGUUGUUCCGUUGAGUUGCAUGCGAAUUCAAAUGCAAAAUAUUCUUCGAUUUUCAAUUUUGAAAUCAAAUUUUUUUUUCCUUCUCAAGCAUGUUAUGCAGAAACGAUUGUCAUGUUAUGCAGAAACGAUUUUUACUAAAUCAUUUUUAACAAACUAUUGAAAUUAAACCACUGGAAUAAGAAUUGUAAGGAUUUAUCGUAAGCUUACUAAUACGAUAAUUCUGAAACUAUCACCUUUUUUUUUUUAUUUGUUGCAGGGAAACCCAAAUUUUGUAUUUUGUCAAUUUCAUCUGAUAUGGAAUUUAUUUCCUCCCUAAAGAUUUAUCAAACUGCUUCUCUUCCCUGCUUCAAUAUCUUUAUGCAAUUACGAUCUCAUAGGAAAAGAGAGUUUGGGUUGUAUAUCUUAUAGUAUUUAUUUAUUUUUUGUUAAAAGAAAUUUAUUUUAAAAUAGUUUAUAGCAACAGUUUUUAUUUAACAAUAAUGAGGAAGGAUUAUUAUAGGUUCAAAUAGUUGUUAGAACAUUAUAAAAAAGUCCAUUUACUAUCAAAUGUUUUAAAUUGGUGCAACGUGAUAAUUGUCUCAUAUAAUUUUUUAAGGGUAAAAACUCGUUUCAUUCCCAUAUUUUAAGAUUAUUACUCAUUUAGUCUUUAUAUUUUUAAAAAUGUUUCAAAACAUUCAUACCCUUAAAUUAUUAACAUCUCUGCUGUUACUUUUUAUUUUUUUUUGACUUGUUUUUACAAUAUUGCCCUCUUACAAUAAUGUUUCUUUUUAUAAAAUUAAUAAAAAGAAAAAAAAUUAAAUUAUCAAUUUAACCCCAAAAAUAAAAUAAAAAUAAAAAGAAUAAAUAUUAAUUUUUGUGAAAGUUUACAUGUGUCCAAAAUAAAUUUUAUUGUAAAAAUAAUUAAAUUGCCUUUUUUUUGGACAUUAGUAAUAAAAAAAUUAAUAUAUUAAUUCCUCAGCAGUGUGUUACAAAAAAGUAAAAUAUAUUAAUUUUGUUUUUAUUUUAGACAAUGAGAUAGAGAAAAGUACAAGAUAAAGGAAAGGACUUCAAAACUCACUGUUCAUCAUAAUGCCCUUUGCCUUUAAAAAAAAAUCAUUCUAAUAUUUUAUAACACAUAAAAUAUAAUCCUAAGAUAAAUAUAAUAAUACAUAUUUUAAACUAAUCUCGAUAUUUAAAAUAUGUUUUAAUAUUUUAUAAUCUAUCAGACAUAUUUUAUUAUAUUAAUGUAAAAUUUAUAAUAAAUACAAACAUAUUAUUAAAAUAAAUAUAUAAAAAAUAUUUAUUUUUUAUAUGUUUACACUGAGGACUCUCUUUAAUUCAUUUAUUUUCUCUCUCUCCAAACAGGUACUGUCUUCAGUUAGCAAUGCUAUGAUAGUAAUCCAAUUCUCUUCUCCCCCACCUGAGCGAGAUUUGAAUUUGAAUCCCUUGUUUUUCACCCACUCUGUUUUUUUUCACGCAAGAUUUGACAAUUUGAGUUAAAAAAUAUGGUCCAAAACUUGAACACGUAUCUUUUAAUUGUAAUAAAAGUUCUUUAAGCUUUGGAGAUGGCAUAUAUAUGGCUGGAAGUGUCCUUUUCUUUGACCUAGAGGCAGCACCAAGCUAUCCAGCAUCAUCAUUUUUCAAGUGGGUCUUAAAUGCCUAGAAACGUUGGUGUUUCUUGAUUUAAAGAUGACACAUGCUAUAAGUGUGAAUGGUUUGGCUAAGCCUAAAUUUAAAGUCUACUCAAGUCGCAUUCAGGAUCAUGGAAAUUGGAAAGGGAGAGAUGAUAGCAAGAUUUAUAAUAAACAAUUAACUUGGGUCCUCAGUGUACAAAGCAAAUGCCACGCAAGCGAUAGCCGGCCCAGCCCAGAAAACCCAGUGGCGAUCCCAGAGAUGGCCUCCUCUAACGAGUGCUGGGCCCAAAAAUCUUUGCGGGUUGAGCCCAGCUCCGGCAUAGCCCUUUUGAGCAGUAACAGUUGUCGAGACAAAAACCAGAAGACCCAACACUGUUCCAAUGACAAUGCAUACGGUAAACUCUGCCAAGAGCCUUGGCUUGUCUGGAGUCAAAAGCCAUCCACACAGAAGCAAAAAGGAACACAAACGAGCAAAUUAUCUCAAGCCAAAGGGCCUGCCUAGUCCCCAAGCCGAUCUCAACAGGCCCAUCUGGCCCAGGUACGACAACAUUCAGGGUGCAGCCUCCAAGUUGUCAAAUAUUUAUAUUAAACUACAAUUGCUGACUAGAAAAAUCAAGAUCGUAUUACAAGUGGGUCCCGAAUUGGACGUGCCUAAAUCUUUUUAUAAUUUUCCCAGUGUAGCGGACAGAGGUCAUUACUAAAUUUCUCUUCCACACGCCACAGCAGCUUCGGUUAAUCAAACUCAAUCAAUUUUCUUGGCUUCUCCGCUUAUCAAUAUUACAAGGUAUGGGUAGCAUUUUUCAAAUCACAUGCGAUGGUACUAUUUUCAAUCGUUGCUUAGAUUGCUUUCUUGGAAAAGCAGCAUACAUAAGUAACCUCCAAGAUAAUCUUGUUGCCUUGGAGACUGAACUAAGGAAACUAAUCGCAGCAAAGAACGAUGUGAUGACGGCGGUUGUCAAUGCUGAACGGCAACAAAUGAGAAGGCUGGACCAAGUGCAAGUGUGGGUUUCGAGGGCGGAUGCUGUUAAAAAUGAAGCUGAUGAACUUAUCAGAGGCGGCUCUCAAGAAAUUGAAAAAUUAUGUCUUAGAGGGUUCUGUUCCAGGAACUGCACGUCAAGCUACAAGUUCGGAAAACAAGUGGCUAAAAAGCUACGAGCUGUGGAGACUUUAAUCGCCGAAGGAGUUUUUGAGGCGGUGGCUGCCGAGGUGGUGCCUGAGAGAGCUCCAGAGCCUGUAGCAGAUGAAAGACCUACCGAGCGAACAGUAGUAGGCUUGCAAUCACAACUUGAACAAGUCUGGAGAUGUCUUGCAGAAGAAUCAGCGGGAAUCAUUGGCCUAUAUGGUAUGGGCGGUGUUGGUAAAACUACACUAUUGACCUAUAUCAACAAUAAAUUUCUCGAGAGUCCAACCAACUUUGAUUGUGUGAUUUGGGUAGUAGUUUCAAAAGACCUGCGACUUGAAAAACUUCAAGAAAAUAUUGGGAAAAAGAUAGGUUUGGUUGAUGAUUCAUGGAAGAGUAAAAGUGUAGAGGAGAAAGCUCUCGACAUCUUCCGGAGUUUAAGAGAGAAGAGAAUUGUAUUGCUGUUAGAUGAUAUAUGGGAGCGGGUUGAUUUAACAAAAGUGGGCGUUCCACUUCCAGGACCACAAAAUACUACCUCAAAAGUCGUAUUCACAACCCGUUUGAUCGAUGUUUGUGGUAGCAUGGAAGCUGACAGGAAGUUCAAAGUAGCAUGCUUAUCAGAAAAGGAUGCUUGGGAACUGUUUCGAAAAAAAGUUGGGGAAGAAACUCUUGGAAGUCAUCAUGAUAUCGUUGAGCUAGCCCAAACUGUGGCCAAAGAGUGUGGUGGUUUGCCACUCGCACUUAUUACUAUCGGUCGAGCUAUGGCCUACAAAAAGACAGCCGAAGAGUGGAGACACGCAGUUGAAGUUCUAAGAAGAUCAGCUUCGGAAUUUGCAGGUUUGGGAAAAGAGGUGUAUCCUCUUUUAAAGUUUAGCUAUGAUAGUUUGCAGAAUAAGACGAUUAGAUCUUGUUUCUUAUAUUGUUGUUUAUAUCCUGAAGAUUAUGGCAUUCUUAAAUGGGACUUGAUUGACUGUUGGAUUGGUGAGGGAUUCUUAGAGGAAUCUGACAGGUUUGGUGCAGAAAACCAAGGAUACUACAUUGUGGGCACUCUUGUUCAUGCGUGUUUACUAGAAGAGAUAGAAGAUGAUAAAGUAAAAAUGCAUGACGUUGUUCGUGAUAUGGCUCUAUGGAUAGCUUGUGAAAUUGAGAAGGAGAAGAGAAACUUUUUGGUUUGUGCAGGUGCGGGACUAAAGGAGGCACCUGAUGUUAAAAGAUGGGAAAAUGUGAGAAGAUUGUCAUUGAUGCAAAACCAAAUUGAAACUUUGUCAGAGGUUCCUGCAUGCCCUCAUCUCCAUACUCUAUUUCUUGCCUCUAAUAAUAGUUUGCAGAGGAUCACCGAUGGCUUCUUCCAAUUUAUGCCUUCUCUCAAAGUUUUCAAGAUGUCAAACUGCGGGAAUUUAAUUUUGGAAUUACCUUUUGGGAUGUCAAAGUUGGGUUCAUUGGAACUUCUCGAUAUUUCACAUACCUACAUACAAGAGUUACCACAAGAGUUAAAGUUGUUGGUAAAUCUGAAAUGUUUGAAUUUGAGGUGGACAAGCGAGUUAAAUAAAAUUCCACGGCAGCUAAUAUCAAAUUCUUCAAGGUUACGUGUGUUGAGAAUGUUGGGUACUGGCUGGUUCAAUUUUCAUGAAGCAUCAGAAGACAGCGUUUUAUUUGGCGGGGGUGAAGUUUUAGUACGGGAAUUGCUCGGUUUGAAAUAUUUAGAGGUAUUGGAGUUGACCUUGCGAAGUUAUCAUGCUCUCCAAAUUGUUUUGAGCUCAAAUAAGUUAAAAAGUUGUAUUCGAUCUCUUUACCUCCAGUUGACCGGAGAUAGAAAGUCGAUUAUUGAUGCUACGGCUUUCGCAGAUCUAAACCACCUCAAUGAAUGAUUGAUUUUUAAAGGUUUUGAGUUGGAAGAAUUGAAGAUUGAUUAUACAGAGAUAGUACGAAAAAGGCGGGAACCUUUUGUUUUCCGCAGCCUUCACCGUGUUACCAUAGAUUCGUGCCUUAAAUUGAAAGAUUUGACAUUCC